This 47790-nucleotide long non-coding RNA is filed under the name Triticum aestivum (bread wheat). RNAcentral describes it as "long non-coding RNA (TAES_LNC016920)". Lineage: Eukaryota; Viridiplantae; Streptophyta; Magnoliopsida; Poales; Poaceae. The record is from RNAcentral.
AUUUGCCCUGAUAACUUUGUACUGAGCGUUUGCUACACAUGUUUCCAGGUGACUCGGACAUCAUCACCACCGUUCCUCAGUGAAGACAAGCUUACCUAUCCUAGCCUAAGAUGAUGUAGUGUGGAGAGUCGUGCUUACAAGGCCGAUGGCCGUCUCGUUAUCGAGCCAGAGCUGCCAAACGCAGUUUCAAACCAAACAUGGCUGUUUUUGUAAGGCAUUCCUAUGGGUUUUGUUUUGUGAUGAGAUGAUUAUUUCUAUGGUCCUUUUUACCUUGCGCAAUUGAUGAUUAGUUCUGUCAACAUUGUUUUGCCUUGCUCCUCUAGUGAAACGGAACUUGAACAGCUAGUCACUUAACUGAAGAAUUGCGUGAGAGUUGGUGAUGCUUGUGUAAUCUUUGCUCCGGAGAAAUGGAAUGGUUUGGAAUGGUUUUUGUUUCGCCGCGGUAGAGUAGAGAUGCUGGUUUUGUUUGUGAUGAAACAAUUUCACGGAACCUGGCACUCUAAUUUCACUACCGCCAGAGCAUUGCAAAGGUUCACCAGACGACGCUGGUGAAUUUGUUACCGAGGCUUGUCUCUUUUGCUGGGGCUCAUCUUGAUCCCAACCCAUUACCCGUUUGCCACAAGAUAUAUCCUGUACACGCACAGAUGUAUGGCUGCUGGUUGAUUCCUAGAAUAGCAUCUGGUCCAAAGACGUACACAAUUCGGAUGGCCACAGCCGUCGGCCUCGGCCAUGUAUAGGGUAUGCAUUGCGGGGUGCUGGUCUGGUGGAAAUCUAAAGCUGACCAUUUCAGAUAUAACAUAAAUUCUUGCUCCAAGCUAUAACAUUUUUGGCGACCGAUGACCAACUUGGCUUUGUACGGUCGAUAGAGGUUGAAUGUCUUGUCUUUUGCAUCAAGAUCGCACAUUCUCAGCGUCUCCAAUCGCAGAUGCUGAAAUUUCAUCUGACUUGUUUCAUAGUAAGUCUUUCUUCACCUUGAAGACGCAAACAGAUCUCCGCAACACCGGCCACACCACUAAUCUCUUCCUCGGUUGCUUCCUUGAGAACUUGAGCAACUACAAUUUCAGCAAGUGGUUUCUCCCUUAUCUCCCAAAGGAAGUAAUUGGAUAAGUUUUGCUUUAGCCCGGAGUCAGUGGUAAAAAUAGGCUCCUUUCGAAGGAGCAACUCCACAAGUACCGUACCGAAACUGUACACAUCACUCUUCUCAUUUAAAAGGCCAGUGUGAUAAUAUUCUGGAUCUAAGUACCCAAGGAAGAGGGCUCCAGCUGCUUCUAUAGCAAUUCUUAAGCAAUCAUCCCACGACAAGGAAGAGUUGUUGUUUGGAUUAUGAAGAACACCAAAUAAUGAACCAUUAGGUAUGAAGUCAUACACAAGUAGUGGAACAUCAGUCUCAAGGCAACAUCCAAAGAGCUUCACAAUAUUUCGGUGAUUUAUCUGUGAGAGGGUAGCAACCUCGUUGAUGAACUGACUAAUCUCAAUUUGUGAAGUGACUUUAGACUUUUUAAUGGCCACUACUCGUUGGUCAGAUAGGAUGUCUUUGUAUACCAUGCCAUGCCCUCCACGACCAACGAUACGUGUGUGGUCAAAGUUAUUUGUUCCCUUUUGUAGCUCUGCCAAAGAGAAAAUCUUUGUUUUGUCAUUCACAUUUUCAUCGAAAGAAAUAAAUUGUUCUAGAAGAAAACCUUGGUUCUUUUUGAAAUACUUUCUUCGCAAUUGCUUUUCGAUAUCUAAUUUCCACCUUCGGAUAAGAAAUAUUGCAAUUAUGAUGAGAAGUAGAAUGCCAAAACCAACGCUUAGCCCAAUGACAAUACGUGCAAUGAUAGUGUUCAUCAAAUCUGUACUUAGCCAAAAGUAUUGUUUCACGUCGCUCACUGUGGAAUUGAUUAUACCAUUGAACUCACCAAGUAAAAGACUCUGCCUCUUUGUUGAAGUGCACUUCAUUGCUAGGAAGUCAUAUUCUGUUUUUCUAGGACAUGCGGUGCAAUUGUGGCUUCCAAUAGUAUUAUGACAAAGCCCUUUACAAAUACCAGAAGUCUCACACUCAUCAAUAUCUGCAAUAUAUGGGUGAGGUUUGAGAGGAGUUUAUAGUGUGUAAUAAUCAUUAUACAUUUACUAACAUUGUCAAAAAAAUUAAGUAAUAUAGGGCUUUCAUAUUUUUUUGGGGGUGGGUUUUGCAGCAAACAAAAAUGAUGGUUAACUCUCUAAAAUGGCCAUAUAGUUACUAUAGCUAGGGGCUCAUCGCCUUAAUAUAGGUUGACGCACUCAAAGUUUGGAGUGUCUGAUCUGCAUGCAAGCUAUUUUCAUUCUACUCUAUGCACAGAGUUAAUUAAUGAAGAAGCCAUAGAUAAUAAUUUAGUGUUUAUGUAAACAUUUCUGUGAGACAAAACAAAAUCCAACACUCCUUCAGAACACACCGCUCUAAAAGGUUAUUGAAGUGUAUUAUUGUACUUUUUGCCACUAACUAAGACAAGUAGUCAUCAAUCCGUGCUCCUGCAAGGGCUAGAGAUUUCUCUACUUGACAGGUAUUAUCGUGUCAAAGAUAUUUUUAACCAUGAAAAUGUAAGUGAUGUACAAAUGAAUAUUAACACAUUCACAUUAGACACAUACGAAUGGGAAUUCUAGACUCACUGAGAACGCCUUACUCCUCUGCUAGUUUCCCGUGUUACUCGUUCGCUGCUCUCAUUUAUCUUUGUUUGUGUUAUUUACUUUUGAUUCACACUCUACUCAAAAACAUUAUUUAUCUCCGCCCUCACUUUGCUCUUUUUUGCAAAAGCCCUCACUUUGCUCCGAGUCUACAAUUAUUUGCACGCACAAUUCCAUAAGUCUCUACAAGGGACAAAUAUCCUAUUCAUGUGCUCCAUGUGGGAUUGAUACUCUUGCUUCUAAAAGGCUACAAUUAAACCCUAUGCAUUUGCAGGACAUCAACUGCGCCGAAAAAAAUGAUGUGGCAACAAGCUAUGGAAAAAUAAACACCUGUAGUUGAACAAAACCCCCUUUAUGUUUGAAAACCGUAUACUUUGCACCCCAGUUUACAGUCACUUAGCUUGAAGCCAACCCAUCCCAAGGGUAAUAUCAUCGCAACCCAGCGGAAAAAGUAUGAAUGCGGGUCCAAAAAAAGGCCAUGUAUCUUGCAAUCGUGGAUUGGCAACUCCAUGCCAUGUUGAAUAACAUCCUUAGUGGCUACCUUCACAUCCAAAGGAUUUUCAUGGUUGCAGACCCCCCAAGACUGAGAUACUUUAGUGUUUAAAAAUUUGUGAAACCUCCCAGAGUCCACCAACACGAGUAGAACAUUUUCGCCCACCCUGCCAGAUAAUUAUAGAACACUUUUGGGGCUUCAAUACCACUAACUCUUGCAGCAGACAACAGACAUAGAUCAUCCUUGGAGCUCUCCCAGGCGCUGGUGGUGGCUCAGGUAAUGAUGGUGGCGAGAUCUUGCCCACCAAUUCUUCGAUCACCGCACCAUGGGUGCACAAGUAUGCCCGUGAUCCCAAUGCUAGCCACAUGUGAAAGAAGGCCUUACUAAAAGCACAUAAAGACUAGAGCUUGUUGUCGACAAAAGAAGCCAUGGGUGACGAUGAUUAGGCGAUGUCCAAUCCACGAUGCUUCUCCAAUGAGGUCGGGGAUAGCAAGGAGUUGGCUUGUCAUCCGACGCCUGGCGUCGGUGGCUCCAAUGUCGCUAAAGAUGGGCAUGGCACAAACCACUCAGUGCAGGCGCCUGGAGAAUUAUCGUAGUGCGGUGUCAUGGUGUCUAAUUCUUGGCACACCAUUUCUACCACUUCCUCGUGCAAUUUAUCCAAUGCAACGACUGUUUCCAAGUCUUGGGGAUGGUGUAGCAUUAUAGAUAUUUUGAUAUCAUGUGACAAACCAUCUAGGAAAUGAGUAGCGAAAAACAGGGGAUCCCAGGAGCUAUAGUGCUCCAGUAAAUCAUGCAUCAUUACAUUAAAUUACUCAACAUAUUCUCACACAUAUCCCACUCUUUUUUUAACAACAGAUAUGCCUCUUUUUAAGCCGAGAAUAUUUUCUCAAUAGAUGCUGGAACUCUGAAAGCCCACAUUUCUCUAAGACGGGCCCACAAAAGGCAUCCCAUUUAGCACAUUUCACGUGAGCCUAGAAUGGAGUAAGGGCACGCCGGGUGUUUCAGUUCAAGAGCUGAGCGCCAAGCUCCAAACACUUUCAGAAAGUCUAUGGGGAUGGGACAGAAAUACUUUUGGUAACGUCCAGGCGGAAAUAAAAAAAGCUCUACAAAGAGCUGGACAUAUUACAGAAUGUUCCAGGCAAAGAUGCUCCAAGUCACCACGAGCUGAAGAUAACUGAAUGCCUUGUCGAGCUUUAUUAUCGGGAGGAGAUCCUCAUGCGGCAGCGGUCACGAGUUGACUAGCUCACCGAUGGCGAAAAAAACACGUGCUUCUUUCAGCUGCGUGCUUCCAACCACCGCUGGAAGAACCUCAUCAAGUCCUUGGUCAAGGAUGAUGGACAAGUCACCGAAGAUAGCAAGGAGAUGGAAUGCACGACCACUAAAUUCUAUAAGAAUAUUUACUAUUCUAAAGGGGUUGAGAACAUGCAACAUGUUUUGGAUACAGUCCCUAAAAAUAUCACUAAUGACAUGCAAGCCCAUUUGGACGCCCCAUAUAGUGCUGAGGAGGUAAAAACAACUCUCUUCCAGGUGUUUCCUUCAAAAGCUCCGGGCCCCGAAGGUUUUCCGGCCAUUUCUUCCAGAGACACCGGGAUGUUUGUAGCCCCGAAGUAACAAAGGUUGUUCUGCAAAUUGUCGAAGGGAAAGAGAGCACUGAAAGGAUCAACAAGAUGGGUGGAAAGGCCCUCUGUUACCUGUUUUUGUUGGUAUCAGUCAUCUCAGAUGGGUGGAAUUCAAGUGCGCCUAUGGCAUCCCCUGUUAACCACUUCUUAUUUACAGAUGAUAUCCUGCCGUUCUUCAAAGCCAAUGUUGUAGGGGCGACUGAGCAAAAAAUGCAUGACAAAUGUCAAAGAUGAGAUAAACAAUAUUCUUCAAGUGCCCAAUGAAACCUUGAAUGCUGGUACUUGGGUAUGCCCUCUGAUGUAGGCUCUUCUAAAUAGGUGGCUUUUAAAUAUUUAAAGGAUAGGGUAUGGAACAAGGUUAAAGGAUGGGUGACAAAACUUUUCUCUUCGGCUGGCAAAGAGGUUUUGAGCAAGUCAGUGGCUCAUGCGGUUCUAGUUUACUCUGUGUCGUGUUUCAAAUUACCGAGAGGCUUAUGUGAGCACCUGAAUAAACUCAUACGACAAUUCUGGUGAGGAACAAAGAAGGCCAAAGGAGGCCGUCAUGGGUUUCUUGGAAGGACAUGACCCAACGAACGUUUCUGGGUGGAUUGGGAUUCAGGGUUUUCGAGCUUUUCAACCUAGCGCUGCUUGCUAAACUGGCGUGGCGCAUUCUACAAUAUCCUGACACUCUUUGUCCCAUGAUGCUGAAAGCUAUUUAUUUCCUCCCUGGUAAUAUUUUGUCAGCCGAAGUUGGGAACCAUUCUUCACAGAUAUGGAUCAUGGAUAGCAUCUUACUGUUUGUAAACAAGGAGGAGUACUAAUAACAGAGUACUACGUACAUGCUAACACGUAAAGGAGAUUGGAAGAUGCCAAUCUGAAAAGGACGACUCCUAUUAGUAAGUGUACUUAGGAAACGGAAAAUCCGAACACAAUAUAUUAGAAGCCGGAUAAUAUCUAGCGUGGUAGAGUCGCUGAUGACAUAAAUUCUUGCUCCAAGCUAUAACAAUUUUGGCUUCUCUCGGAAGAUGAAUUUGAGCUUCCCACCUUCCCAGCUGCAGUAGCUAAAGACUGAUGACGAACUUGGCUUUGUACUGUCAGCAUAGGUUGAAUGUCUUGGUCUUUUGCAGCAAGCUCGCACAUUCUCAACCUCUCCAAUCGCACAUGCUGCAAUUUCAUCUCGACUUCUUUCAUAGUAGGUCUUUCUUCACCUCGAAGACGCAAACAGAUAUCCGCAACACCGGCUACACCACUAAUAUCUUCCUCGGUUGCUUCCUCGAGAACUUGAGCAGCUACAAUUUCAGCAAGUGGUUUCUCCCUUAUCUCCCAAAGGAAGUAAUUGGAUAAGUUUUGCUUUAGCCCGGAAUCAGUGGUAAAAAUAGGCUCCUUUCGAAGGAGCAACUCCACAAGUACCGUACCAAAACUGUACACAUCACUCUUCUCAUUUAAAAGGCCAGUGUGAUAAUAUUCUGGAUCUAAGUACCCAAAUGUACCUUGUAUAUUCGUCAUAACAUGGGUCUGGUCAAUAGGAACCAACCUCGAAGCACCAAAGUCUGACACCUUUGCUGUAUAAUUCCCAUCCAGGAGUAUAUUUGUCGACUUCACAUCACGAUGAAAGAUUGAUACAGAAGCAGCUGAAUGAAGGUAAGAAAGGGCUCCAGCUGCUUCUAUAGCAAUUCUUAAGCAAUCAUCCCACGACAAGGAAGAGUUGUUGUUUGGAUUAUGAAGAACACCUAAUAAUGAACCAUCAGGUAUGAAGUCAUACACAAGUAGUGGAACCUCACUCUCAAGGCAACAUCCAAAGAGCUUCACAAUAUUUCCGUGGUUUAUCUGUGAGAGGACAGCAACCUCGUUGAUGAACUGACUAAUCUCAAUUUGUGCAGUGACUUUAGACUUUUUAAUGGCCACUACUCGUUGGUCCGAUAGGAUGCCUUUGUAUACCAUGACAUGCCCUCCACGACCAACGAUACGUGUGUGGUCAAAGUUAUUUGUUGCCUUUUGUAGCUCUGCCAAGGAGAAAAUCUUUGUUUUGUCACUCGCAUUUUCAUCGGAAGAAAUCAAUUGUUCUAGAAGAAGACCCUGGUUCUUUUUGAAAUACUUUCUUCGCAAUUGCUGUUCGAUAUCUAAUUUCCACCUUCGGAUAAUAAAUAUUGCAAGUAUGAUGAGAAGUAGAAUGCCAAAACCAACGCUUAGCCCAAUGACAAUACCUGCAAUGAUAGUGUUCAUCAAAUCUGGACUUAGCCAAAAGUAUUGUUUCAUGUCGCUCACUGUGGAAUUGAUUAUACCAUUGAACUCACCAAGUAAAAGACUCUGCCUCUUUGUUGAAGUGCACUUCAUUGCUAGGAAAUCAUAUUCCGUUUUUCUAGGACAUGCGGUGCAAUUGUGGCUUCCAAUAGUAUUAUGACAAAGCCCUUUACAAAUACCAGGAGUCUCACACUCAUCAAUAUCUGCAAUACAUGAGUGAGGUUUGAGAGGAGUUUAUAGUGUGUAAUAAUCAUUAUACAUUUACUUAGAUCAGUUAACAUUGUCAAAAAAAUUAAGUAAUAUAGGGCUUUCAUAUUUUUUUGCGGGGUGGGUUUUGCAACAAACAAAAAUUAUGGUUAACUCUCUAAAAUAGCCAUAUAGUUACUAUAGCUAGGGGCUCAUGGCCUUAAUAUAGGUUGACCCACUCAAAGUUUGGAGUGUCUGGUCUGCAUGCAAGCUAUUUUCAUUCUACUCUAUGCACAGAGUUAAUUAAUGAAGAAACCAUAGAUAAUAAUUUAGUUUUUAUGUAAACGUUUCUAUGAGCCAAAACAAAGUCCAACACUCCUUCAGAACACACCGCUCUAAAAGGUUAUGAAAGGGUAUUAUUGUACUUUUUGCCACUAACUAAGACAAGUAGUCAUCAAUCCGUGCUCCUGCAAGGGCUAGAGAUUUCUCUACUUGACUGGUAUUAUCGUGUCAAAGAUAUUUUUAACCAUGAAAAUGUAACUUCUAAUAGGGAGUUUAAGUGAUGUACAAAUGAAUAUUAACACAUUCAUACUUCUAAAUACAUUGUGAGUUCAAGUAAUCAUAUAGAUAAAAAUAGAAGUGCUAUGUUAAUGCACCUGAUAUUAUUUGCAUGAAUAAUUAGUUAUUUCAACUAAUAAACUAGAGUACAAGCAUUGAAACAAUAGAUAUGAAAUGAUUCCCAAAUUCUUUGUUCAUGUGUUCUAUAUAUGUUGGAUGAGCAAUAGAAGAUGCUUUAGGGAAUCGGAACAUGCUUUGGGAACAUCUCCACUGCUUGCGAGGAUAUCAAAGAGGAAGCAUAAAAACUAGGUACUGAGAUCUCUCCGGCUUGAUUGUAAGCUCGGGGGAGAUCCUAGAGUACUUUAUAUCUCUACUUUCAUGUCUUUAUUUUCUGCAACUGGAGAUUAGCUCGCUAGUUGUUGGUUAAGUUUGAACUAUUCAAUUCCUUUCGAAUAAGGGAAGACCCCUUUCUGAUGCGCUAUGGAUAUUUAAUUAAUUGAUGCCAUCAUUUUGAUUGGGAAGCAUAUGAGAUGGUGGUUUUCUGCAAUUAGUAGCUAAUGUUCACUACUGAGAUGAUCAUAAGUCUUCCACACACAGUUUUUGAUUGAUUAGAGAAGGAAAAUAACUAUAUGUGCUAGCCCAUCAGUUUGCAACCCCUAAAAAAUUUUAUAAGCAUAAAUGAUUGGGACUUAUGUCUAAUCAAAUAAACAAGUUGAAGCAAAUAACUAAGGGAUAAAAUUCCUCUUAAAAUAAUAGAAGUUUUUAAUCCCUAUUAAAUGAAUAUGUUUAGCUUGCAUGUCACAUAAGAAUAAAAUGUGAGAUGGUCACCUAAACAUGUUUCAUGCUCGGGAAACAGAAAGUAAUGAAAAAAAUCAAUAAAAGAGACUCCCUACAAUUUGCUCAGUUGAAAUAAAAGAUGGCCUACUACAUAAAGUUGUAUCUUGUUCAUUAAUGAAUUGUGUAACGAGGCGUGAAAGGCUUCAUGAUCAUCCUAGUAGUGGAGAUGCGCUAUCAAUUGUUGCAUUCUUCUGUCUCUUUCCGUUUCGAUAUCUUGUGAUGGACUCAUGCCUUUGUAUAUAUCUUCAUGUCAUAAAAUUAAGACGACCUUAUUUACAAGCUGCGGUGUUUGCUCGGGGACGGGCAAAAUUUAACCUUAGGGGAGUUGACGAGUCCAAAUUUUGUUUAUAUUUUAAUCCUUAUUUUAUGCCUAUAUGGUUGGCUUUGUGGAAUUUUACCGCGUUCACGCAUGUCUUUUUGUCGAAUUCCCUCAGGAUGUAUUUUUGGAAGUGAUUAGAGUGACAGGGAAAGAACUCCAGGAAACAAUGGUACAAUCAUGUCAAUUAAUGUGAUUAACAACUACCAUAAAAAAUUAAAGCAAUUUGGAGAAAGCUGGAAGUUGUGAAACGCCUCUAGAGAACAAGACGGCGUGCCAUACGAAUGCACACACUCGUACCAGCUGCUGUCGCUUCCUCUUCGUCGAGUACUUCCACCCCGUGGAAUCAGACCGUGAAUUAGAUGCAUACGAAGACCAUAAACUCGUCCAGACGAGAGAACCUAGCCCCUGAAUGCCAUCCGAAGGGGGGAUAGGAGGAGAUUGCCAUGUUCAUCAUGAUGUGCAAGAGGAUAAUGACAUCAACCAUCUCCAUCAUUUGCCAUUAUCAUCUAUCAUCUCUAUCUCGUUGUAAUGCUCAACCGUUUGUGGAUUGCUCCAUGUAUUACUCAUUUGAUCCAUCCGUGUUUUUCAUUGCUAUGCACUGGAUGUUCUUCAUUCCUAUGUACGAGUAAAACCCUAGUUCUUGGGGAUAUGGAUGAACCUUGGUAUGUUUAGGUGCUGAAAACGUUGAUAAGGAUAUGAUAUCCUUUUUUGAAUGUUUAGUUUAAUAAUAUUUAUGAAUGUUGUGAAGGGGACCCACUCAUCAUUUCUGUCGUAACUCCACAAAGCCUAUUACUGUCAUGGUAAAGGUUAGGAAAUGAAGGUCAUUCAGGUGACAGUAAAAGCCUUCACUCCUCUCUUUUGCAAUUGAUAAGGGAUAAAUAAGGAGAACCAUUCUAAGGCCGCGUCUACAGGAAAACCCGUAAUUAAUGACCAUAGUUGUAACUUAGAGGGGGAGACUACGGUGGUGGUGUGUGUGGUACGAAGGCUACUAGAGUAGAACGUAUUCUGUAGCUCGAGGCCCAGCUCAAAGUGAAGAGUGACUUAAGUAUCCAGUUAGUACUAUGCUACUGCACUAGUCGCAUUAGACACAUACCAAUGGGAAUUCUAGACUCACUGAGAACGCAUUACUCCUCUGCUAGUUUCCCGCGUUACUCGUUCGCUGCUCUCAUUUAUCUCUGUUUGUGUUAUUUACUUUUGAUUCACACUCCACUCAAAAACAUUAUUUAUCUCCGCCCUCUCUUUGCUCUUUUUUGUGAAAGCCCUCACUUUGCUCUGAGUCUAUAAUUAUUUGCAGGCACAAUUCCAUAAGUCUCUACAAGGGACAAAUAUCCAAUUCAUGUGCGCCAUGUGGGAUUGAUACUCUUGCUUCUAAAAAGCUACAAUUAAACCCUGUGCAUUUACAGGACAUCAACUACGCAAAAAAACGAUGUGGCAACAAGCUAUGGAAAAAUAAACACUUGCAGUUGAACAAAACCCCCUUUAUGUUCGAAAAUCGUAUACUUUGCACCCUAGUUUACAGUCACUUAGCUUGAAGCCAAUCCAUCCCAAGGGUAAUAUCAUAGCAACCCAGCGGGAAAAGUUUGAAUGUGGGUCCAAAACAAGCCCAUGUAUCUUGCAAUUGUGGAUUGGCAACUCCAUGCCAUGUUGAAUAACAUCCUUAGUGGCUACCUUCACGUCCAAAGGAUUUUUCAUGGUUGCAGACCCUCCCAAGACUGAGACACUUCAGUGUUUAAAAAUUUGUGAAACCUCCCAGAGUCCACCAACAUGAGUAGAACAUUUUUGCCCACCCUGCCGAAUAAUUAGAACAUUUUGGGGCUUCAAUACCACUAACUCCUACAACACACAACAGACAUAGAUCGUCCUUGGAGCUCUCCCGGGCUCUGGUGGUUGCUCAGGUGAUGAUGGUGGCGAGAUCAUGCCCACCAAUUCUUCAUGCGGGAGGAGAUCAUGCCCACCAAUUCUUCAUGGUGAAGAUAACUGCAUGCCUUGUCGAGCUUUAUUAUCAGGAGGAGAUCCUCAUGCAGCAGCGGUCACGAGUUGACUGGCUCACCGACGGCGACAAAAACACGCGCUUCUUUCAGCUGCGUGCUUCCAGCCACCACUGGAAGAACCUCAUCAAGUCCUUGGUCAAGGAUGACGGACAAGUCACCGAGGACAACAAGGAGAUGGAAUGCACGGCCACUAAAUUCUAUAAGAAUAUUUACUAUUCUGAAGGAGUUGAGAACAUGCAACAUGUUUUGGAUACAAUCCCUAAAAAGAUCAGUAAUGACAUACAUGCCCAUUUGGAUGCCCCAAUAGCGCUGAGGAGGUAAAAACAGCUCUCUUCCAGGUGUUUCCUUCAAAAGCGCUGGGCCUCGAUGGUUUUCCAGGACAUUUCUUCUAGAGACAACGGGAUGUUUGUAGCCCUGAAGUAACAAAGGUUGUUCUGCAAAUUGUUGAAGGGAAAGAGAGCGCUGAAAGGAUCAAUCGGAUGGGUGGAAAGGCCCUAUGUUACCUGUUUUUGUUGGUAUCAGUCAUCUCAGAUGGGUGGAAUUCAAGUGCACCUAUGGCACCCCCUGUUAACCAGUUCUUAUUUGCAAAUGAUAGCAUGCUAUUCUUCAAAGCAAAUGUUGUAGGGGCGACUGAGCAAAAAAAUGCCUGACAAAUGUCAAAGAUGAGAGCAAAAUAUUCUUCAAGUGCCCAGUGAAACCUUGAACGGUAGGUACUUGGGUAUGCCCUCUGAUGUAGGCUCUUCUAAACAGAGGGCUUUCAAAUAUUUAAAGGAUAGGGUAUGGAACAAGGUUACAGGAUGGGUGACAAAACUUUUCUCUUCGGCUGGCAAAGAGGUUUUGAUCAAGUCAGUGGCUCAGGCGGUUCUAGUUUACUCUGGGUCGUGUUUCAAAUUACCGAGAGGCUUAUGUGAGCACCUGAAUAAACUCAUACGACAAUUCUGGUGAGGAAGCAAGGAAGGCCAAAGGAGGUCCUCAUGGGUUUCUUGGAAGGACAGGACCCAACCAACAUUUUUGGGUGGAUUGGGAUUUAGGGAUUUCGAGCUCUUCAUCCUAGCGCUGCUUGCUAAACUGGCGUGGCACAUUCUACAAUAUCCUGACACUCUUUGUCCCAUGAUGUUGAAAGUUAUUUAUUUCCAUGCUAGUAAUAUUUUGUCAGCCGAAGUUGGGAACCAUCCUUCGCAUAUAUGGCGAGCAAUAAUUGAAGGAAUAUAUGUGCUAAGCCAAGGCUUGAACCGAAGAGUUGGGGACGAUUCUUCCGUCGAUAUUUGGUUGGACAACUGGAUCCCUAGAGAUGAAAACAUGAGACCGAUUGUGUGCCUCGUGGCGGUCCGCCCCACCCUGGUUAGUGAGCUCAUAAAUCAUGUUGAGGCCUCGUGGAAUAGGGAGGUAUUAAAGGAAACUUUUCUCCCCGCCGAUGUGGAUGCAAUCUUGAGCAUACCGCUUUGUACAAGAAAUAAUGAGGAUUUUUUGGGCAUGGAAUUUCGAGAAGACUGGUUUGUUCACAGUGAGGUCGGCGUACCGCAUGCUCACCCACAAAGAGCACAUGCGGGAUGAGCGUGCGAGCCCUAACAAUUCUGGAGCCGAGAUCGGAUGGAAGCAACUCUGGCAGGUGGACAUUCCAGGAAAGAUACACAAUUUUUUGUGGAGACUGGCAAAGCAUUCUAUUCCAACUGAAGAUGUCCGGCAUCAUCGACAUAUGUCUCGAUCUGAGAGCUGUCAGUUGUGUGGAGCGACAGACUCGUGGCAUCAUUCCCUGCACGUCGUUGAGGUGUAUCUAGGUUUUGGUCGAUGGUGACCUAUCUGAGCACUUAAUUGCUACAAUGGACCCAAGCGCAAAACAUUGGCUAUUUGGGACGAUGGAUACUUUAUCACAUGACAAGUUUCUCACCCUCACGGUGACUCUCUGGGCUAUAUGGACAGCAAGGUGGAAGGCCAUCCAUGAGUCUAUUUUCCAAAGUCCUCUUGCCACACAUAUGUUCAUUCAAUUCUUCAUUGCUGAAUUGGAGAGCAUCAAGAAUGCCCCUAGAACGAUAAGACCUACUCCCGUUGCAAAUGUUCGGCUGCACCAGGUUUGGAUGCCUCUUCGAGCAGGAACAUUUAAGAUCAACGUGGACGGAGGGCUCUCCAGAGAUGGUUCCAUGGGUCCAUCCUCUAUUGUAUGUCGUGAUGACAAGGGCCUUCACUUAGGGUCCUCGACGAUGGUCUUUUCAAGCAUUAAUGACCCGUCCUAUCUUGAAACACUAGAAUGUCGAGAAGCGCAAGCACUUGCCCAAGACCCAAGGAAGAAUCAUCAUCUCAUGUGAUAGUAAGAGUGUUGCCAAUGAUAUAAAGCAUGGCCCACAAGGGAAGAAUGGCGUAAUAGUUUAAGAGAUCAAUGCGAAUCAACAAAUUUUUGAAGCAUGGGAUAUCAUCUUCUAAGGUAGGGACACAAACAAAGAAGCUCAUAGCUUGGUUAAAUUUUUGGUUUCUCUUAACUAGGGUCGCCACUUGUGGCUGCACUAUCCACAUGACCCUUUUCGUAUUCCUCUGAACUUCCCAAUUACUCCUUCCGUCCCAUAAUAUAACAACGUUUUUGACACUAGUGUAGUGUCAAAAACGCUCUUAUAUUAUGUGAGAGAGGGAGUAAUCAAUAAUGUGUCCUUCACCCCUCAAAAAAAGGUGAGCCUAAAAUAAUUCCAGCCAAAGCGCGACAGCGCCGAUGUAGUGCACCACCAUCGUGUCUAUCCACAUCCAAUGUUCCACCUCACACACCCUGAAGUAGGCCUCACAAGGAAUGUGCUAGCUGUGAGGUUGUCGCCGUCAAACUGUGGGCCAUCAACAUGUUUGUUGACACCUCGAUUUACCCCAUAUCCAUAUGAGUAGGCUACCUACUUCGAAUGGUAUAGAUGGUAUAGGAACAAUAGGGAACGGCGAACAAGACAUACCAUUGGCCGGGGCCGGUGUUGCUUGGAGAGGCACCUCAUUGGUUAGAACUUGUGCUUGAGGUGUCCCACGAUGAUUGGAUUGCCCAUGGCCAUCGCCACCCACUCCUGUGUUGAGGAACGAUGCGUCCGCCGUCGGCUGAUGGAUUGACUGCCUUGCCCGCUCCUAUAGUGCCGAGCGCAAUCUUCUCUAGUUGCACACAUAUCUCCCCGAGAUCUGCACACAGCUGUCCAACCGCCUCAUCUAUGCCAGGAUACCAAGCCGAGAGGUUGCUGACCACCAGCUCGAGCGAUGCCAGCGUUGGCUCCAUAUAACCGCUGACACAAUCUAGCCUAGAGAGUUUUGGGUGCCUAUCAGGGCCUUAAAGAUGCUCCUCCGCUCCAGCACCGCCACCUCCAUAUGUUUCUGCAGAUCAUGCUAAGCCAUGGUCUGCUUGAGACUAUGCGCCCAAACCCGCACUAGGAUCUCGCCGAAGGAAUUUUUUUGGGGAGAACAACCUAGGCUCUCAUUACUACUCCCUCUGUCCCAUAAUAUAAGAGCAUUUACACUAUACUAUUGUUAAAAAUACUCUUAUAUUAUGGGACGGAGUGAGUAGAUGAUACGAGUCACACUAGAUCCUGUCUAUUCACUACUGGAUACAAGGUUUUAUUCAGAUAUAGUAUAAAACCACAAGUAACAUGAAUGAGAUCUAUGUGGGAGGUGGGAGUGGGGGAAACACCCAACGACGGCUAGUUUCGUUCCCGUUUCUCGUUGCCCUUCGCAGAAACCACAUACCGACCGAAGUAUUGCCUUUGCUAUGUCUAGUCCUUUCCAUGGAAGCACGGGUUGGACCUGGGGUUGCGCUUGGGCUUCCUGGUUGGCUUGGGCCUUUAGCUUCACAACUGGAUGUAGUAGUUCAUGUGGCAAUGAGCCACCAAAUCCUCCAGUUCUUCCUUCGAGUCCACGUUCUCCUUGUCCUCAUUCCAUAGAUACAGAAAAACUUGUCGACAUCUCAUCCAAAAAAUUCUUCUUAUUUGCCCCUCGGGCUUCCUUCACCCACUGUUGCCUCCCUCAUGGGUGAUUUGCCACGGGAUGCAGCUGAUGGCUUUGGCAUGCCUGAAUUUUUGCUCAACAUCUUCCCCGAAAUCAAUUUAUGCGCAUCCUUCCAGCCCAGCGGGGCUAAGUCUUGUCAUGGACAAGCAUUUCACUCAGAUUGAGCGUGGGAACCGACCGGGAUUGAAGAUUUGCGAGGGGUUCCAGUUGUCGCCCAGGAGGGGAGAAACCCUAAUCUUUUAGGGGGAAAGAGUCUCGUUUGCAACUUGGUUGUUACUCCGACUAGAAACUUUUUUGCUAAUUGACCUUAGAGCAAGUAUAAUAGUGCCCUUAUAGCCUGCUUAUAUGGCAAGUUUGCUUAUGUGAAGGAGAGAGAUAUGAAAAAAUAAGGGAAGUGAGAUCUGAUGCAAAAGCUUAGCUAUAUACGUACUCCUAGGCAAAUAUAUUAAAUGUGGGACGUGUCUAGUGGGCGGCCGGCCGCCCUGGGAUCGCUAGCCAGCGGCCACCCGAAAAAAGGAAACCACCUGGUCCCCCCUCAAGCGAAAAAGAGGAAACAGUCCACCUGGUCCCUGCCCGUCGGAGCCAAAAAGGCAACUGCCCCGCCCACCAGCUGGCCGCGGGAUCACGUGCACCCUCCUCGCGAAACGUGCACCCUCCUGGCCGCGGGAUCAUGUGCACCAGCUGGCCGCGGGAUCUGCCCAGGUUGCAGAAUCCACGCCAUCUCUCGCCCCCACGCCUCAGCCCCACCGACGCUGCCUUCUUCUUCUUCUGCACGCCAGAAACAGAUCCAAACGCAAUCGCCCCCAGCCCUUCUUCCUCCUCCUACACAGCCGCCAUGGGAGCCCCAAAGUAGAAGGAGCUGCUUCAAGAUCUAAAGGGCAGGGUGGUCAGAGCCAUACCAGGCAGUAAGAUCGAGCAGGUAAGCCCCCUCUGCACCUCUUCGCUCCCCCCUUCUCCAUGGAUCCAUGGAGAAUCUGCUUCAAAAAAGAGGUGAAUCUGGCACAUCACACCAGAUGUUAAACAUGCUGGAUGUGUUAAACAUGCCAAAAACUACCACCUGGAUGUGUUAAAAACAAGCCAACUAAAAACGAGUUAUCUGGCCAAUUAAAACAUGAUUAAAGGCCAACUUCUAGUUAUUAUUUGCAAAAUGAACAGAAAAUUGACUGCCCAAUGCUUUGUUGAACAUGUGCAACGAAAAAUUCAUAAAUGUGCAACUAAACAUGCAUCCCAGCCAACUGAACAUGUAUCCUGGCCAACUAAACAUGUAUCCUGCCAACUAAAAACAUAUAUCUGGCAAUACAUGUUUCUGAGUGAACACUUUGGAAAAAAUGUAGUAUAUGUGAAAAUAAAAAACAUGUUUUCUGGCCAACUAAACAUGCAUGUUGGCCAAAAACUGAUGACCAACUAAGACAUCUAUUCUAGGCAACUAAGACAUCUAUUCUAGCCAACUGAAUGCAUUAACUGUCCAACUGAACAUGCAUGUUGGCCACAAAACUGAAAAAAUGCAACCUGGCCAGCUGAGACAUCUAUUCUAGCCAACUAAAAGCAUUGAAUGUCCAACUGAAUAUGUAUGCUGGCCAAGUGGAAAUCCUAGAAAUUGAGACGUCUAUUCUAGCGAAAACCAGAAAUCUGUAGUGCAACAGGAAAAACAUAGGAACUUUUGUCCAUGGCUAAUGAAGCCACAAACCAUAUUAACAUAUUCACACACAAAUCUUGUCCCACGCAUAUAUUCUGGUCCCACACCUAUUGCAAACCAUAUUAAUAUGUUCAAAUAUACCAGAUCUAGAAACAUAAACGGCGAUGAAAAACAUAUAACUAUAAUCUGUCCUCCAAUUCUUCUUUCUUCUUUCACCUGGAUUUUCCUUCUCAAAUGUAGCAUCCAAUUAUGUGCAGAAAAAUCUGAAAAGAGCUCCUUGCGAAACGGAAACCUACAGAUCAUUGCAACAAAACAAAAAGGGAAAAGGGUAAGAAAAACUCUGUAGCAAAAAGAAGUCAUGCUCUUGCCAGUUAUUUACUGCAAACUGUGCAACUAACAUAACAACUCUGUGCAAACAAAAAAAUUCAUAACUGUUAUAAUAAAAGAUUAUGCUAUGGUCAUGUUGCUUUUAGGUUGUUUUGAAACACAGUUUUUCUGUGGUUACCAACUGAUGGCAUCAAUUUCUUCUUUUUUUAUAUGUGCAGGGAGUGUGUGGCAGCAUCCAAAAACAAGGGAAAAAAUGCUUGAUCUCAAUGAGUUGCCUCUAGAUCUCAAUGAGCUUCCUCAUGAUAUGGAUCAGCAGCAACCCAGCAUACAACAAGGAAACUGCACAGAAAAUGGUCGAUCUGUUUACUACACGCAGGCAAGUCGUGAUGGUAACCCUACAGGCCAUGACAAUGUGGCAGGCCAGUCAUCAACCCGUGGUGCCCCUGUAGUGAUGUCUUUGCAGUCAGAGAGCCAUACUCUUGAUGACACAGGAACCGAGGCAAAUGUUCCUGGUCCAACCAGGAUUGAGCUAGAAGCUGGGGCUUUUGACAGAGUUGUGCAAGUAGAAGAAGGAGAGGAUGAGGCUGGUUCUCAACCUAUGGAACCCUAUGUUGGCAUGAGGUUUGACAGCCUUCAAAUUGCUAAGGAUCACUACAACAGUUACGCACUACGGAUGGGUUUCUCUAUCAAGAUGAACACCUCUAGACGGACACCCCGCACCAAUGAAUUGAUAAAACAACAGUUUUGCUGCAACAAGUUCAAGAAGCCCAAAGCUGAUGAUGGAGGAGCUGAGGCUCCUCCUUACCUGGACCCUAUUCCAGAUCCAACAUCUGUUAACAGUGAUGAGGAGAUGGAAUAAGAACCUCCAAUAUUUGCUGAAGAGGAUGCUGGUACUAGUAAGAAGAAGAAGAAGCGCAAACGUGAGACAAUAAAGCAGACUGAAUGCAAGGCGAAAAUGUUGGUGAAGCUGAUAGAUGGGCGAUGGGAGGUGACGCACUUUGUUCGUGACCACAAUCAUCCGCUCGUGAACAAACCUUCAUUGUCCAAAUACUUGAGAUCCCACCAAGGCAUCUCACCUGAUGAAAAGGAGUUUCUGCGCAUCUUGUAUAACUGCAACUUGACUACAGGUGUGGUGUUUUUCUAUAUCCCUUGAAGAAUUAAGUUUCCCUCUAGGCAGUCCAGUGUGCAACUGUUAUGGUACUACUGUGCAACUGAAAUGGCUUAACUAUGCAACUGCUGUCCAACUUCCCAUGCUUUUUAUAUAUCACUUUGGGUGCUUCUUGUGCAACUAGAUUGUCUUUACUGUGCAAAUACACAAUGUCCUGUAUGCAAAAACUGCAAAGUGUUUUUAAAAAGGUGCAGCUAGGUGUCCAUUUCCUGUGAUUAUCUUCUGUGCCAACACGUGUCCUAUUACUGUGCAGCUGGAUGUGCGCAUUUGUGCAACUAAAAAAAGGAUAUACUGUUUGUUUUUGUAUUAUGCAGGACGAAUGAUGCAUGUAAUGACAGAGUUCUAUGGAUCUGAGAUGAUGGUGCCGUUCGGACCAAAGGCAAUAACAAAUCUUUGUACAAGUUUCCGUAGAGAUGACACAAAGGAGGGUGAUCUGAUUGAGACAAUUGCGCACUUCAAGGAUAUACAAAAAACCGAUCCAGACUUCUUCUAUAAGGUGAAAUAUGAUGAAGAGGACAGAGUUGUCAACAUAUUUUGGGUGGACGGCUUAGCUCGAAAAGCUUAUGUGGAGGCGUACCACGAUUGCAUAUCGUUUGACACCACCUACAUGACCAACUUGUACAAUAUGCCGUUCGCGCCCUUCAUAGGAAUAAACCGACAUGGCCAAUCUUUCAUGCUGGGUUGCGCGUUUGUGAGGCAGGAGUUGGCAUCGAGCUUUGAUUGGGUCUUUGGAGCAUUCCUAGAGGCUAUGGAUGGCAAACCUCCUGACAACUUCAUCACCGAUCAGGAUGGUGCGAUGAGGCAGUCAAUACAGAGCAUCUUUCCAACCACCGUGCACCGUUGUUGUCGAUGGCACAUCAUGAAAAAGGCUCAGGAAAAGGUUGGUUGGUUGCUGUGCCGGAAUCCAGGACUCUCUGAUGAUUUCAACAAGUGUGUUGACUUCAACUUCACUAUAGACGAGUUUGAGCAGAAUUGGGCUGGGUUAAUGAUCAAGUAUGAGGCUAUGGCACACACGCACUUUGAGAAGUUGUACGAAUACAGGUCAACUUGGGUGCCGUGCUACUUCAAACACAGGUUCUUUCCCUUCCUCCAGUCUACACAGCGUAGUGAGGGGUUCAACGCCGUCCUCAAAAGAUAUGUGAACCCACACAACUCAAUGUUGAACUUCGUCAAGCAAUAUGAAAAAAUACAGAACCACAUCCUUGCCAAGGAAGGCUGCAAUGAUUACAGGACACAACACCUUGAGAUUGAGUUGUGGUCCAACUUCCCAAUAGAGAAGCAAGCUUACAAAACCUAUACUAGAGACCUUUACCGCAAGUUUAGAGAAGAGUUUGAGCUGAUUGGACGUUAUAAUGCAUUCCAAGUUGGUGCUGAUGUGUUUGAGCUCAGACCGAACCAGGAAUUUGUUGCGAAAUAUGGUUCUCGAAACUACUUGGUGCAGGCAAGGGUGGAGGAGCGUUCCUAUUUGUGUGAGUGUUGUAAAAUGGACAAGGACGACAUCCUCUGUUGCCACAUCCUCAAGGUGUUCACCCAUGUUGGCGUUGAUGUCAUACCGGAAAGGUACCUGCUAAGACGGUGGACACCUACUGCUGUACCUAGUGCGCCAGGGACUGGUUAUGAGAAACCGGAUGAAAUGCCUCCUCAAUCAAAGAAGCAGAUAAGGGAGAGGAACAUGAUAUACGAUUUUCGGAAACUAGCAAAGUUUGCGAGUGGUUCUGAUCCAGCACAAGCUAUUGUAUACAAGCAUAUGCGUGCAGCACGUACCGAGAUCGGCCACCUGAACAAGUCCAAGAAAAUGAAAAAACCGACUGCUGCAACGGGGCCAUCAGAUGAUGGCAACCCUCGAGGACCUCCUCCACCUCCAGGCAGCAAUCAGGGGGCUCAUCAUCCAGGUAAUUACCUGCCCCAACUCCUGAUCUAACUAGGUGUGUAACUUCAGUUGCACACAUCAUUGUGCCCAGUUGCACACACCAUGGUAGCCACUUGGACAAGAACAUACUGCCUAGUUGCACACGCUGUGUUAGUUCACGCAUCAAAGAUAACACAGCUAACUUAUUUUUUCCAGUUAUGCAUAUGUGUGAUGUCAACACUCAAGGACCUCCUCCCCCUCCUGGCUGUACACGGCAUCCUCCGCCACCUCCUCCCCCGCAUGCUCCUCCCAAUGGCCCUACAGGCAGCACUCAGGGGCCUCGCCGUCUAGGUAAUUACCUUCCCCCAACUCCCCAUCAAACUAGGUCUGUAACACCAAUUGCACACAUCAUGGUGCUCAGUUGCACCGAACAGGCUACCUAGUUGCGCAUGCUGUGUUAGUUCGAGCAUAAAAAAGAUAAACACAACUGACUUGUUUGUCCUGUUCUGCCUAUAGGUGAUGCCAACCCUCAAAGACCUCCUCCCCCGCCAGGCCCAACUAGCAGUGCCCUUUGUGCUACUCCCAAUGGACCUACAGGCAGGACUCAGGGGUCUCAUAACCCAGGUUAGUACCUUCACCGACUCCAAAACAAAAACUAGGGUGAGUGACUUUAGUUGCACAUAUCAUAGUGCCCAGUUGAACAGAAACAUGCUGCCUAGUUGCGUGCGCUGUGUUAGUUUGAGGAUCAAGCUAAAAAUCUAACUUGUUUUUCAUGUUCUGCCCAUAGGCGACUACAAUCCAAGUACCAUGACAGGCCGUGCUACUGCAGGUGUUUUUUUCAACUUAACUUGCACACAACAACCAGUUAGUUGCACAAAAAUGUACUGUGUGGUUGCACAGAACAUCAGUGCUGGUUGCACAAUAACAAAAAUACUAAACUUUUUAUAUGAUUAUUACACAGGUGAUCGUGACGGUCCAACUGCCCCAUUGGAGGCUGCAUCCCAUGCACAAGCUUCUGAUGAUUUUGUGCCCAGGGAUCCUCCAAGGUCUACUACAAAGGGUAGGGCAAAGAGUCGACGGUACAAAUCGGCGCUGGAGCUACACCCAAAGAAGAAAAACAAAUGCAGCCAGUGCCAAUCUACAGAGCACAUUGCUGGUGUGUGUCCACAGAGGCUCCUAUGAUUCUGUUUCCUCAUUUGUAACUUUGGAACAAAAAAGGAAAAAUAAUGAUGUCUUUUUUAGCAAUGUUGGGACCAAGUGGACACAUUCAACAUCUAUGAUUCCUCUUUAUCUAAUUUAUGCUGCUUGAAUUAGUUCAUGCACUGUGUAAAAAAAAGUUGCUAUUUGUGCCUUUGUUGGCAACUGGUUAAAUAUUUAGUUGUUGAACAAUUGUAUAUCCAGUGCUCCUAAUGUAUCAACAAAAGUGAUGAUAUUGAGUUGCAAACGCAAUUACUAGCAGUGUGCAACUACAAAAUCUACUUAAUAAAAUUGUACAAACCAGAAACUUCCUCCAUGGAGCAGAAAAAAAAUAGUACUGACCAACUCCUUGUCGUAUCUCAGCAACUUCCUCCAUGGGGCGGUGUUGUGCACGCCGGUGACCCAAUCAUACGUCAUCUUCUUCCUGAUGUUGAGUACUUCCUUGGGGUCGUAGUUGGGCAGUUGGCUACCAUUCCACUCGGUGGCGUUAAGCAGUGCGAAUAACCCACACUCAUUACUGCAAAAAAUGAGCAAAAAAAAUUGUCACAUAAAAUUAAAACCAAAAAAAGGUAAUGCACUCUGUGCAACUACUUAUGUCCUACUGUGCAACUGCUUGUGUUCUACUGCAACUCAUUAUGUGCCACUUUGCAACUACUUAUGCGCCACUCUGCAACUAGCUAGAUAAUCCAUUAGAAACUCAUAAAAAUGAUAAUACAGAUUGAAGACUAGUACUGUGUCUUAAAAAUACUAAAGAUUGCACAUGUAGAAAAAUUUAAAAACUACAAAAUGAUUGUAUUUGAUUGAGAAGGAAUGAAAUGCUUAUUGUCUUACUUGCCAAGCUGCUUCGGUACGUCAAUGUCAAUAAUCUGGAAGUGCUCGAUGCUGAACUUUGGGUAAUGCUUCCUCCAUAGCUGGCGUACUGCCCCCGCAAUGGUAGAGGCGUUGUUCAUCAGCUCAAUGUUGUCCAGCGUCCUGCUUGAAUCAAGAACUUCGAAGCGUCCGUCCCUCAAGUUGACACUGAAGACCCAAUAAUGCCUCCCUCCGUCCUUAUCGGUUACAUCUGCGCACUCGAGCACUGGCAGCAUGACCUGCAAGUGUGAACGAUUUCAGACACAAAUACAAGAUGUAGCUAAGAAAAACAGUAAAAAGACUUUGUCAAGUUAAAAACGGGUUGCAACAAGUAUCUGCCAACUAACAGAUGUGUCAUGUGCAACUGGACAUGCUGUGGGUGCCAACUAAAAAAAGAUUGAUGAUGUGGGCACAACACUCACCAAGUCUUUCUUGUCGAGACGGUUCUUGUAAUCAAACUUCUUGUUCAUCUCAUCCACAUUGUGGAUCCCUUGCUGUAAUUUUAUCUGCAGAGAUUAUAAAACAUGGCUCAAAACUCCUUAGUAGGUGAAAGGCCUCCCUCAAAUGGUCAACGAAAAGUGCUACAGAACAAAGAUGAGGGUAAAAAGAAGGUUUUGGAAAAACUUACAGAAAACCUCAGUGGCAUAACAACCUUCUUUGACCCUUCUGGUAAGUUAUCCGUGAUGUGUAAGAUUCCGGUCUCAAUAACAAUUUUUGACAACCAUUGAACCGGCUUCAUCGAAUCAACGAACUCCUUUAAAGAAAUGUAGAAAGCACCAUACCUGAUUAUCUCAGGGCUGAUUUUUUUUUGAAAGCAAUAAAAAGACAAGUUAGCUCGAAGGAUCACAGCAGCAAAAAAAUGUGCAUGAAAAUGAAAAAAGAACAGUGUGCAACUAAAAGCCCUGUUCUGUGCAACAUACUAUGCUUUCUGUGCAACUAAGUGGCUGGUGCUAUGCAACUGAAAAAGAUAUGUAUGAAGGCUGUGGGGAGUUAGUUUACCUGGUAGCUCCAUCAUUUGCUCCUUUGUGAUGCCUGACCCAAUACAAGAGGGCAGCGUAAAGCUUGUUCACUACCUCAUUGGUGCUGAAAGUCUUGUUCUUGUUGUAGUCGAUGAAUGGAGACCUUUGAGAUGCUGCAGGCCUUCUUACCCUCCUCUGUCUUCGUGCAAGAGGUGGCCCCGAAGAACUGCUCGUGCCAAGUUCUGGUUCUGCGCAUAUCAGGGUGUGGCAAUUCUCUGGUGAACCAACAUCUAGUUCUUGAGAUAUUGCCUUGCCAACAUCAGCAGCAUCACAUCCUUUAUUCACAGCUGCUGGGUCUAACUCACACUCAUCGAUGCUAAUCACACUGGCUUCUGCUGUAUCUACUGCUGGAGCAGGUGCUGGAGCAUCACCAUCUAUGCCGAGGUCAAAAGAUGGUGCAUCACAGAACCCGUCACCAUGAUAAGAGUUUGAUCUUCGUAAGGGUUCAAGGACCAGGGCAUCUCCUUGCGGCACAAACAUGGGUGCAUCAUUCACUGACUUGGUUCGCAAUAGUGUUGUAGUUGGUGGCCUUGGAGGCUUGCACCUACUUAUAAUGUCGAACACCUCCUCUUGUGUUAAUGGUUGCUGAAAGACAACUCUUGGGGACGGCACUUUGAUAGUUGGAUCACCUCCUUUUGUGUUUGGCAUUGAAGCAUCUCUAUCAGUAGGCAUCUUGGGACUUGCAGUUGCAGUGGUGCCUUCCUGACCAGCUGUGGUGGUUUUGACUGUGACCAUACUGCUAACUGACACAUCAGUUGGCACACUGGUAUCUGUAGUUGGCAUCUUUCCAGUCUGAGUUGGCAGCAACCUGGCAGAACUUGGCACCCCUGCAUCAAUGGCUGCGGCUCGCAGCUCUCUCUCGUCUCUGAACCCCAAAUCUUUUGUGGCCUGCUCCCCCUUUGCGCCCCUGGCAAACUUGACAAUCUUUUGCUUAGGUGGUUUUGGUGGGACUGUUGAAAGGGGAGUCUUCCCCUUGAUCUGUUGAACUUCUCUGACAUUGGUUGGCUCUCUGCUCACUACUGUUGGCAUAUCAGUUUGAAGCACAACUUCCUUGACCAUAUUUACUUCAGCAUCUUCACUCACCAUCUUCUCCUUGGUUUGAGGCAACUGCAGAUUCUUCUUCAUUGAAACUGCUUUACACUUCUGGACCACGUGAGGGUUUGCCGUGGAUGCUGCCUUGCUCUUGCUGGAGCUUAGGUCUGGGAGCUGCUUUAAAUAUUCCUUGUAUUUUUGCUUUGAAUGAACCCAGUCAAGACCCUUCCCUGCUUCCUCCAUGUCAAUUUGAUUCUUUUCAGCAUCAGUUGAUAAGAACAGGCUCUUGUCAAUGGCAAAGUUGAUCUUCUCACACAUAUCUUUGUCGCUGAAAUCUGGCACGGGAAAGGUGGUUGGCAAAGCUGGCUUCAAGUUGCAGAGCUUGAACAUAUCAAUGCUUCCCUGAGACUCUGCUUCGUCAUUUUUCUUUGACUUUGGCAAAUCCUUGUCUUUCCAGCAAGUCUUGUCAAUCAACAACUGUAGUGUGCUCCUGCUACUCAAUGAAUUGCUGCUGCUCGCAGGGGUGGCGUGAGUGCUAGUCCUCCUGGAUGUGUUGCCACCUGUACCACCAGAACCAGGAGCGUUGUCAUCAUCAUCGUCAUAGCUGUUGUCGCUGCCUCCAUUGGAUCCCCCUUUAUCAUCACCAUAAUCAUCCUCGUCUUCUUCAUCCUCGUCUUCUUCCCUCUCACUGCCAUCAGCUGCUGCGCCUUUGUCUUCUCCCCUCUCACUGCCAUCAACUGCUGCCCCUUUGUCCCCGUCCCCCUCUCUGGCCUCACCUUCUUCUUCCUCCUCCUCUGCAUCACUAUCUUCUUCCUUGUUCUCCUCCUCUCCUUUGUCCUCUUCUUGUUUGUCCUCCUCCUCCUCCUCCUCCUCCUCUUCCUCCUCAUCCUCCUCCUCCUCUGCAUCUUCUUCAUUGUCAUCCUCAUCCUUGUCCUCCUCCUCUGAUUCAUCCGCAUCUGUCUCCUCAUCGUCGUCAGCAUCUAUCGCUGCUCCCAUUUCCUCAUCUUCUUCUGAAUCAUCCUCAACAAAUUCUUCUUCUUCUUGUAUAGUUGACCGCCGUCUCUUUCUUUUUGGAGCACGGCGUGAUGCCCCAGUUUGCAUUGAUGGCUGCUGUACGUAAGGAUCAAUAUCUGGUUCCUCGUCAUCAAUCUUGGCAACUUCUUUAAUGAAGGUGCCAACCUGUUCAGUUACAGCCUUGCAUAGCUCAUUGACCACUUUCGCAAUUAUUGCCUUUUUCUGCAUCAACACAAAAAAGACUCAGUACUGAUUCAGUUAGAAAAAAUAAUAAAAAGUAACAAUGUCUGUAACUGACCAUGAUGUGAUAAGCAAAAAUGACUAAUACACACUUUCUGGCCAACUAAAAACAUGAUUCUAGCCAACUACACAUGCACUGUGGCACAAAGUAAAAACCAUGCAUUUCUGCCAAAAGUUGAUGACAAUGGUUGUAAAUGAACACUUUGACUAUCCAAAAGAACAUGUGCAACUACAAAACCUUAUAUGUGCAACUGAACAUACAUCACAGCCAACUAAAUUCUGAAUUUUCGCAACUACAAAAGUUAUACAUGUCCAACUGAACAUACAUCCCAGCCAAUAGAAAAAAUAUUGAUAAGUGAUACAAGUUUAUGUAUGCAAAACACUAACCUGCGGAUUGUAUGUCAUUGGUAACUUGGAUGCCACAAAUGCUUCAGCUUGCAAAAUUCCACCAAACAGUGGUGUCUGCUCCGUGCCUCUAUACUCCUCUUUAAGCUGAUGUAAAAAAAAGAGAAACAGAAAAUAACAAGGUUAUCAAAAUAGAUUUGUGUGUUGAAUGAAACCACACAUUACAACCUGUGCAACUACAAACAAGAUACUGGGGUAGACAAAUUCAACUAUACAUAUAUGCAACUGAACAAAGACACAAAAACUGUGCAACACACAUGGCACCUAAAAAAAAGUUCCUACCAACUGAUGCAACACAUCUGUGCAACAAGAUUAGUAAAACUGUGCAACUUAAAAAAGAUGGUGUGCCAAUUUAAAAUAAACAUGUGUGCAGAUUGCCAAACUUAAAGCUAUAAUCUGUGCAACUACAUGCAUUGUUGUGCCAACUGAUGACAGUUUUCUGUGCAAUUCCCAAAAAGAGUGACCAGACAUCAAAAGAACAUAGAAGGAAGACACUGUUGGAAAAAAACAAAAAAGAACUCACUUGUAAUUUGCCGAACACACCAGGAGAGAUAGUAUCCUUCUUGAUCACCUUGGCAAUUAGAGUACUAUCCCAUGCAUUCGAUCGUAUCGCGCAGUUGCUUACUGGGAUGUCAUGUACGAGCACAUCAAGGUAUAGUAUCUGCACCAGACCCAAACAAAAGAAAAAGCCAAGUUCAGUUAUUGUUAUGAGAAUUUCAGCAAACUAUAACUGCACAGAAAGAACAGGAACAGAUGAAAAAAAGUGGUCGUUUUCACUAACCAUCAAGUGAUACAAGCAGCAGCAAACAGUUUGCUUCUCCUGGUCCAUGUUUCGGAAAGCUUCGUUAAUGUGUUCUGCUACAAAGAGGCAGAUGUUUGUAUUCUUUAGCAUUUGAUGAUCUAGCACAAGUCCAUAACACUUUGGGCUGAGCUUCAAGGCCGUGGUUGGUGCUAGAAAAGUACUGAAGGCAACCGCAAGCCAGGCCAUAAAAAAUGGGUCAUCCGUUCUUCUAGCCAUAUGCUCAAUCAUCUUGAGCCAUGUAGUGAUCUGGGGAUGAGAAUUUCCAGUUAUGUUGAAAGCCUGUCUGAAUCUCCUAGUGGCAUCCUUGUCAACUAAAUAUCUGACUUUUGGACCCUUGUUUGGGAGAUCAAAUACCCUCUGAACACUGUCAGCAUCAACACGGAUCCUUCCCCUUCCUGGGAAAACCAUUUCAGAGGUCUGUGGCUGGUAGGACUGCACCAGGAACUUAGUGAGGUCCGCUAGAAGUGUGUCUGAUAAGUUCAAUAGCCCCCCGACCGACCUCGAAACUAGCUCUGAUUUCUGUAGUGGAGUUAGAGAGGCGUUGAAAUUUGCAAAGCGCGCUGGUGAUGCCCUUAUCCUACCUGCUUGUGAUGGUCGCUCCACAUCUUCCCCUGGAGCCACCUCAACUCCUUCGCCGCUGCCCUGUUGAUUAGAAAAUGAAAGCAUUACACAAACAUUAAACACAAGAGAAAAAACAAGAAUGAAAAAAAACUAGCAAUCAUCAUGAUGUAUUUGUGCAACUAAUAAAGCUCAUGAGGACAACUGCAAAAAGACUGCCAGUGUGCAACUGAAUGUGCAACAAUAAAACAGUAAAUAAAAAAAGAACGAGACCUGGCAGCUACAAAAAGUUCUAGUGUAUGUGCAACAAUAAGAAAUGAUAUUGCAACACAAGAAAAACAGUAACUAAAAAAAAGGUUUGCAAAGAACUAUUCAAAUAGCUCAUAAAAACACAAAAAACCCACAUACCUCAGCAUCUGCUGCGGAAGAUGCGAUAGCUUCUCCAGCAACUGCUGCCUGCACAAAAAAAUGACCACUGAUGUCAACUAUGAAAACAUGCCAACUAGUGAACUACAAGAUGCCAACUAAUGCCAACUAAUGUCAACUGUAUUUAAAUCAAAAUGACUAGAGAUGUCAACUACAAAAGGUUGUUAUUGACAGACUAUAAACAAAAAAUAGUGUUCCGAACUGCUGCAUAAUUUCAUCACUAUCUAAAAAAAGGCGAGAAAAAACACUUAUAUUUGAGAUUUUACUUACCCUAGAAGAUGACUCAGCUCCCUUGCCAAGUGCUGCACGUCUAGUCCGCUUUACAACACGGAACUGAUCAACAUCCUAAGAAAAAAACAUGAGCAUGGGAAAAAAUAAAAAAAUGUUAUAUGACCCAAACAAAACCAAAAAGUGGACUUGUGUCAUCAACAUGCCACUUACCUCAACAUCCUCUCCCUGCUCAACACUCUGCGCAAGUCGUGGCUGGCGAUUAGCAGGACGCUUCGAGUUCCGGCGAAGAGGUUGACUUCCAGAACGCUGAUUAAGCAACCAAAAGAAAACAUGAAAAAAGACAUUAGCAUACAUGCAUAAGUUGAAAAACAACUCAAAAACAAAAGAAAAAAAAGUGAAUAAAAAUACAUCUCCUUCAUUGCCACCCGCAUCUCCUCCUAUUAUAACCAUUUUUGCCCUGCGGAAGGAAAUACAACAAAAAAACAUAGUUAGAAGAUGUGGACAACCAACUACUAUAAUCAUGCAGCCAACUGGGCAGUAAACCUUGUGCAAACUGGACAUCAAAUAAGCCAACUAACUUUUUUCUGCCUAAUUGUUACUUGCCAACUGUGACAAGUAAUACCUAGACAGAAAAAAGUUAAGUAAAGGCAACAAGCUCAGUGAGAUAACUUAUUCUGAAAAAAGCGUCCCUAGUUGAACAUGAAGGGAGACACAUGAAAACAACCACAUCCACAACAAAAGACUUGCACAUUGAGAAAAAUUAAAAUGGAAAAUUGGCAAGCAUUGGUACUAAAUUUGCACAAAUCAAGGGGUCCUAGUUGCACAAAAGCAGGAGAAUAACACAUAAACCACCAUAGCCACCACAACGCUGGUGGAUUGGGUAGAUUAUAUUGGAAAAUUGGCAAGCAUUGGUGCUAAAAAUGUACAAACAAGAGUCCCUAGUUGCACACAGCAGAGGGGGGAACAGCCAACUAGUAAAAGUGUAUAACAUAUGCAACUAAGUAAAACCAACUAAGUAGAGCAACUGGCACAACUGUAUAACAUAUGAAUAGCCAACUUAGUAAAAGUGAUGCAGCCAACCGAGCAGGCAACUUGUGCAACUGAACACAAUAUAGACAACCACCUAGUACAAAAACAGUGAGCCAACUGACCAAAACAACUGCUGCAACUGCAGAGCAUAUGGACAGCCAAAGUACUAUAUGGACGCAGCCAACUGAGGAGAAUUUUUUGCAACUAACCACUUAAAUCUCUGAACACCAACUACGAAAUCAGCCAAUGCAUUGCACACAAAAACAGUGAGCCAACUGACCAAAACAACUGCUGCAACUACAGAGCAUAUGGACAGCCAAGUACUAUAUGGACGUAGCCAACUGAGGAGAAUUUUGUGCAACUAACCACUUAAAUCUCUGAACACCAACUACGAAAUCAGCCAAUGCAUUGCACACAACAUUGCGCACAUCUAAUACAACUUACAGAAUAACUAAAGAAUCAUGUGCAGGUGUAGAACAUAUGGACAGCCAACUAGUAAAAGUGAUGUAGCCAACUGAGCAGGCAACUUGUGCAACUGAACAGUAUGUAGAAACCCAACUAGCAAAAAAUUGGUGCAACUGCAGAACAUAGGGACAGCCAACUACUAUAUGAAUGAAGCCAACUGGAUAGAAUUUUGUGCAACUGGAACACAAGUGUCUACCAACUAAAAAGUGGCCGUGAUACAAGUUUCACCCUCUUAGUUGGUUAGCACAGGUAAUGGUCCCUAAUUUGCACAGGUACUAAUUUGCACAUGACCCACGAGAACCACCAGAAGGCUGGCAGAUUGGCUAUAUUAUCUCAAAAAUUGUCUACUGCUGCUCCUAAUUUGCACGCAAGGGGCGACAGAGUUGCACACCGCGGGGGAAAACACUCAUCAAAAACACCAGAUCCACCGCGAGGCUUCAAUCCACAGAAGAGGCACUAUCGCCGUGAACCACUCAUCCUCCCUGAACCAUAUGCACGAGCUCACCCCCUACUACAACUCAAAAACGACAGGAUGAGCACAACCCUAACCCAUCCCUGCCAAUCCGGCGGUUUCCCAAACGAAGUAGUCCGCUGGGGUGACCUCAACCUCGCCGGAAAAUGAGUUUGACCUCCCUAACCCCGACCGCGACCUCGACCUCUACCUCGACCUCCCUGACAACGACCGCGACCUCACCGGAAAACGAGCGACCUCAUCGGAAAAAGGAGGACGGGCGAGUGGAGAAACAAGCAGGGACGAAGACGAGGAGCGCGCGUAGGAGCAGUACCAGAGCCGCCGCGGACGACGACCCUCGCGGCGCGCCCCGCCGUCGACCACAACCCAGCGGAUUUGGAACCGCCUCCGAGCACCAACCAACGGCGAAAGUAAAGGGGGAAAGUGGAGGAAUGGGCGGCGAGAGGUGGGGGUGGACGGGGUAAUGGCACGAAAUUCGAAACCGCCGCCCACUACGCACGACGGCUAAAAUGCUGGAGAACUGCCUAAUCCUCGAUGACAUGUGGGUCCCACGGACGAUUUAUCUCGCGGGCGCGGCGCAAAUCGGACCAACCGUUUGGUCCACACGCGGGUCUGAGCGGCGCGGCCCCACCUCCCGACCAGGGGACACCUAGACACCGCGCGGCGCCGAUCGGGACGAGAUCGAGCGGCUCUCGUUCGGCCGCUCGUUCUGUCUAUUUAGUGGCCGGCCGCUUUUUAGAUUCCAGGUUAAAUGUGAACAAAGAGAAACAAAGAAGGUAGAAACAAGUAGUAAUGUAAUAAGGGCAUCACCAACGCUGACCCACAUAUUUGCUCCUGCAUCCGUCUGAGGACAGAGGGGCUAGUCCGUAGACACGGAUGCGGGAGCCAGUCAUCCAACGCUACCCGCAUACAUUUCAUAGCAGAUUCAAACAAAACGGACGGAAUUCAUACAAACACGGCGGAUUUCAAUCAAACCGGACGAGUCCAUUUACAUUUCAAACAUAUUUUAACUAAAAAAGUUAGAACUAGUAUACGAUAGGCCACAUGGAUCUCCAUUCCCAUGACACGGAUACACUAAACUAGUCAACGACCAUCCCUGGUGGAUCCCUUUGUCUUUCCCAUGUCCGGUAGCUCGCUCAUCGGACUACCGAGAUCCCAGAGGUAUAUGCUUCAUUGCAACGGAUGGCUUCACAUCCCCAUGUCAGAGUGGCACUUGGUAGAUAUGCUCCAGCCGGAGGGGAAGGGGGGCAUCCGCUUCCGUGAAGCACACAUCAAGAUUGGUUUUUGGGGCGGGGACGAUGGUGGCCUGCAAAGAGGGGAAAUCAUCAGCUGUGCAUGCCAGCGACGCGCCGACGGUGGCCUUCCUAGGACCCAAGCGACGACGGCCUCCCAUGUUCCACUUUUCCACGAUGUUAGCGGCGGCCGCGGACGUGUUGACCGCCACCUCAUCGAUCUCCACAAUGUUGGCAGGGCAUGGUUUCGUGAACGUUGACGGCAGAUGGCGCGUGUCUGGCCUCAUCCACGACAGCCAUAGUGCUCGUUCCACUGUUCCCACCAAGUGCUGUCCUGGAGUGGGCACUUGCUCCCUCGAGUUCGGCGAGGGAGGUGGAGCAGCGUGUUGCCUGGCUCAUAUCCGGCGAGCUCGGCGGGCCACCCGACCGACUUUUAUAUCAUCGGAGAAUUGCUCUUCUUGCUCGCGAGAUGCCAUGAAGAGUGUGGAGAAAAUGGUGUGAGUAGCAAAUGGGCAACGGAGUUGUGGUGCAGUUCUUGGCACGACGUCUGGCCUCGCUUAAAUGGUCGGUAGAUGGGAGGAGCUUGCCCGGCAUCGUGUUUAAUGCCAGUCGGCUCGCGAAUGGACGUGUGGCCUGAGUAGGUUUCUCGGCACACGGGUUUAAUGGAGGUUUUUGAAUGCGGCGAGGAGGCAUGUUCAGCCGAGCGAGCAGUGAGCGACACCAUCGACCGGCGCGCCGCUUCGGAGCUAGUGAUAAGUCGCGUCCGCUUAGGCCGGCUUCAGUGUGAAGUGGCCGUUCUACAGCGGCAUGAACGUAGGCAGCUGGCGCCGGACAAGAACACACGUGCGAGGGGGAGGGUUUCGGGUGGGCCAGGGCAGUCAGAAGCGGACGUGGUAGCGUCCCGGACACCCGCAAACCCCCUAGUUUGUCUCUUUUUUUUUGCGGAAGAAAGUGCGUCAGGACUGUCGAGCGGACCGAUAGAAGACCUCAUUCAAUGGAAAAACAAGUCUAGAACGCACGGUCCGAAUGGUUCCGGGUGGGUCGAGGGUUGGCGUUGGAGAUGUUCUAACCAACAUCAUAUACCCCGUACUACUAUAUGUGUGACUAUAGAUGACAUGGCAGUUUCAUAUAGCCAUUAGCUGGUUAUACUAUUAGCAAUUCUCUUAUGAAUUUCAUUCAAUAUCAUCAAAAUACAGAUGUGUCACAUCAUUCAAAAAGCCGGGCUAAUUUAUUGGAGAUGCCAUUGUGCCCAUUUGCCUUACAAAAUCUAGAAUGCAUGAAAGUCGAGUGUGCUGACGACAUAAUAUUUCGCUAGAAAACUAAAGAGAAAAAAUAUGCUCAGUAUUACUAAUGGUUUUGGAAUUUUUGACCAACCUAGCAGACCAUUCAAUGGUCAAUACCUAAACAUAGUGCAAGCUUUGAGUUAUGUCCACGCAAUCCCAAGUGCCUUUGACCGCAUGUGGUACUCGCCUCGUCAUCAACUAGCGGUGCCGCCGCCGGUCAACUGGUUGAGCCAUCGAAGGAGAAGGUUGACAUGCAGAGGAGGAUAUGCUGGUUCACCUUUUGGGCGUAGGAUCACAACCUCUCCCCUCAAGAACCCGUCUCUUGCAGAAGAAUCACAUGUCUGUGUGAGGCAUCUACUUCAUCUUCACGCUGGAGUCCGAGUCUAUGGAUGCGUUUGGUACGCUGCAUAUACCUCAGCCAGACUCAUGCGGGAAGAAAAUGACCCAUUUGGUUACCCGCAUUCACGGUUGAGUCUGCAUACCAUGAACAUUAAAGCACCUCUGGGCCUGCAUCUAGAGGAAUGCUCAAAUCAGUCAUUUUUGUGGAGUCAGGCCUGCGCGAUGCAACCCUAGGCACGUGGGCAUGGGCGGUUACACGCGUGGGUGCGGUCCUGAGAAGUCGCGCUAUUUCCAGACGCGUCGUCAUAAAUUACCCUCACCUCCGUUCCUCACCACUCUCUCCCCUCUUCCCCACUCACACCGGCGGCGGCGAUCGCCUGAGCUCUAGUGCAAAUCGAUCCAAGGUAGCGGCGACAACCACCGAAGCGACUGCAGGACCUCCACCAGAGCGCAUUGGCCAUGGCGGUAAGUCCUCAUCCUCUUUAUACAUUCACUGCUUUCGACUCGGCCUAGAUUAGAUUAAAGCACGUGAUUGAAGAGUUAGGGAGGGGAUUGAAUACAUCGGGGGUGGAGGAUUACCAUCAAUCGAUUCUGCAUCGACGACUACUAGGGUUCAUAGGUUAUUUUUCGAUUACAUCAGGGGUGGAGAUUGGGGGUACAAACUUUCUUGUAUAGCCGCGACGACCCUAGAGUCGCGACGAGUGGCGGUGGGGGGAGGAGGGGGCGUAGCCAUCUUCUUUUCUUCCUAUCGUCUUGAACAAUGGGUCUUGCACGGGCGCCUACCGCCGGCUCCCUGGCCACAAUCCGCACCUCGUCGUUUUCGGCCUUCGGCGACCCGAACAUGCUACUCCAGUACGCCGUGGCACGCUGGUCUUGAGGCGCCUUGUACUGACUGUACUUGGCCCAUCUUGCCCGCAGUCCAGCGUUGCCGGAGUCUGCCUAAUUCAUGGCCUAGUGCAGGAUGUCCACUGACAUCGCGCCCUUGGGUGGGUCCGGAAUCAGUGUCUUCAGCUUGUCCGGCGUAGCCUUCUUCAUUGAAGCAUCGACCUCCUUGUGCAUGUCAUUGAUGCUGCUGAAGUUCGAGCACACUUCCAUGGUAUGCUCGAACUUUUCUUGCGGUCACCGAGCGAGCACCCAAGGAAUAAGACCCUCCAUCCAAUGCCCCAGGGGAAAGGGUUGGGGUUGGACUUGGAGUUCAUGGCGAGGGAGAGGUCGUGAAACAGAGAGGUGGAAGAGGAGAGGUGGUGAAAUAGAGGGGGUUCAAAUGCGGUGCUGGGUUAGUAGGAUGGGUUAAUAUAGGAGCGUUAGGCCGAUAUGAAUGAAUGCUGACCAUUGAACUGCAUGCUAUUCAUAAUGCUGAUGGACAAGGGCAAGGAGGUCGUGCCACCAUUGGAGAAGGGCAAGGAGGUUGUGCCACCAUUGGUCGAAGUGCCGGUGCAAGCAGACUAUGGCAUAGCCUAGUGGUGGGAAGGGGCUGAUGCCUUUCUACCCACCCAGGUUCAAGGCAUGGUACUUGCAAUUUGAGUUUGUUGCAUCAAUUAUACUGCAGGGGUUCCCUUACAGUCUUUCUGUCAAAAAAGUGCCGGUGCAAGAUCACCCAAGCGCCAAGCGGAGGAACUAUGGGAGUCAGGACCAAAGCACUUCUGUAAGGUUAUCCUUGCUCCAAAGCUGGAGAGUCUGCCAUUGCCUCUGAACCUAACACAACACUUCCCCGCCAUCCCUACAGAGUUCAAUCUCAAGACGAACACCAACUACGCAUGGAGGGUGACGGUGGGAGUGAUCAACCGCAGGGUCACCAUUGAUCAUGGUUGGGCCACCUUCGCCGUUGUUCACCAAAUCAUGAUCGGGUACAUGCUGAUGUUCAAGCUGCUAACCCCCGACACCAUGAAGGUGAUCGUCUGCCACGAUGAGGGCAUGGAGGUGGUCACCAAGUGCAAGAAGCAUGUCAACGCCUUCGCUGCGACCGCCUGAGCUCCUGUUGCCCGUUCCUUGUUGGUUCUUGUUUUAAGACUCGGGUUUCAUUUAAAACUUAUGGUAAUAUGUUGGUUUAAAACUUGUGAUGCAUGGUUAAGACUUGUGUUUGUGCCUAAGAUUGUUUUGUUGCUCCUAGUUUAGUUCUUUCUUGUGUGCCUUUGGUAACCUCACCACAUCGACGAGGGGUUUACCACACAACUGUUCUUGAUGUAACCAAACAACCGGACUUGUGUUUGCCCUCAAACAAGUCUGCAACUAAACAACAGGCCUUUCGUUCUAGCACAUGGAGACUAGAAGGGAUGCAGACAACCAAUCAACAUGCAGAUGUUGAUUUUUUGCCUGCAUAUGCUCAACCAGGUCCAACUAGGACAAGUAUGUAAAGUGGCAAAAAACGAUGCAGGUGACCAAACACGUCCUAUCUGACUCUGCGGGGCAGCACCAUGGGCAAUGUCGUUGGUCAUGCCCUUAUCGGUUUGUCCUUUUAGCCAGUUCUGGUAAUGAUUUUUUACAAUCGUUUGUAAUUGGAUGAAUAGUACGUUUACUCAUGAAUUUCAUUGUGUGCAUCACAAUUAAGGAUGGAUGCGGUCCGGGCCGGUCCGGCCCGUCACUGAGCUGCCGUUUGGACCGGCCGCCGGCAGUCCGGACCGGACAGAGCAGCGUGGUGGUCCUGUUUUAAAGGACGGGACCGGCGGCAGGGAAGCUCGGGACUGACCGAGAGGACCGGCCAUGGUGAGGUGACGGUGACCAUGGCGUCGACAAUGAUGGCAAGACGCGACUAUGGGUCCUAAUCGGAGGGGAAAACAAAGGGGAAAUGUGCAAUGACUAACGACGAACUCUAUGGCAGGGUCGGGGAGGCCCGAGAAGCAGCGACAGUGUGGUAAUCAACGACAAACGAUGGUGCCCGGACUUGGGGUUGGAUGAUGAUUGCAAUGGCUCGGAGGCGAAUUCGGCCAGCUCCUUGCUCUGGGAAGCAGAUCGCAAGGUUGCGGACCUCCAGGACAAGGUUGUUCAUCGCGGGGAGGCUGGUGGCCAUGUGUGCUCUGCACCGCGGCACGUGCGUGCUCUACUGGUGGCCUACGAGCUCUGGUGCUCCAGCUCGAACUCAAGGCGGCGCCACGAUAGGAGGGGAAGGAGGGAACGUCGUUUCUGUAUCUUGUGAAGGAACAGAGCGCAUCGUGUGCAGACUCUGCCCUGGCCUAGCGUGCUUGUGCUUGGCCUGGGCCCUUUCUCGGUCCGACUGGUGAAAGACCGGACCGGAUCGAUGUUUUCUUAGGCCUAAUUCCAGACGGCCUAAAGCUCGCUCGCCACGUCCAGCCUUACCAUAAUGACGCAGAGGCCGGAUAUCUUUCACAUGAAAAGAAUUAAGAAAAACUUGGAUAUUCUUCAUUUUUUUUAUAACUACUUGGAUAUUUUGAAGUCUACAAAGAAUGCCAUUGAAAACUCUGUGCGCUGAAUAAGUCAUGGUAAUAAAAAGCACUGAAGUGGAAGUACGUAGACUCUUAAGGUAAAACUUGAAACUCAUGUAAAUGUGAGAGAAAGAGAGAGUAGGUACCUUCACAACCACUUGGAAUAUAUGGGUUUCCUUGAAAUCCGUCCUUGCACAUACAACGAUAACCAAUAUAUACAUUUGUGUACUCAUUCGUGGAGCUGACGCCCAGGCAAAUGCUAUUGACGCUCACACAAGCAUACCCUGAACUGUUGAGACGUGCCUCCUGGCAGGUUAGAUUAGCGACUGCCCACUGAACAGAGGCGGACUCCCCUAAACCAUUGUAGAGAUUAGGCUCAUUAUCUAUGAGCGAUCUGAUGAAUGGUUCCAUAUAAUCUGAUGUGUAUUUAAAGCUCACAUGACCCUCGCUAAUACUGAUGUAAGUUAUGUAUUGUUCGUCUCCCCGUUCAUACCCAAAUUGCAGGGUUGAUGAUGUCAUGUCUGUGCACUUGAGAUGAAAUGACUCCCUAGCAAAACAACCUUCUUCUAGACCAAACGGAAAAGGAACGCUGAUGUUCCCGCAGUUUCGAGUGCAAUUAGAUUUCUGUUGAACUGGAUUAUAGCCUGAUAUCAAUGCAAAGUCGGUGAUAUAUUAGCUCUUAUAUAUACAACGAGAGAUUCACCAAGUUAUUUGACAGAGACGAAGUAAUUUUAUAAAUAAUUUCUUUGUUUUGAGGAAAGCGAAAACAUGAAGAAAAAAUUUAACCAUUUGCUAUUGCUAACCAUCUACUCCCUCUGUCCUAAAUAUUUGUCUUUCUAGAGAUUUCAACAAGUGACUACAUACGGAACAAAAUGAAUGAAUCUACACUCUGAAAUAUGUCUACAUACAUCCGUAUGUGGUAGUCCAUUUGAAAUAUCUAGAAAGACAAUUAUUUAGGAACGGAGGGAGUAAUAAGCAAGUUCCUCGUUAAUGGUUGAGACCACAUAUUUAAGAAAUAAUAUGGCACAAGAUAAUGGUUGAUAUGAGAUUAGCUAUUGGUUCCAAGUUCCAUUAAAUGGUAAUAAACAGUUAUUUAUAUUCAGCCCAAAAAUUACCUUUGUCGCGAUAACAUCCAUCAUUAUAUAAGCAUUGCCUGCAUAGCCUGCAUCACAGGCACACAUGUAACCGAUUAUUGACUCGAGGUUGUUAGGCAUGCACACGCUGUGGCUGCUAACGCAGGCAUAGUUGGUCAUAUUGUCCAAUGCGGCGGAGCAUGAUGUUUCAUCCGCGAUGGUCCAAGUGAGACCAAAAGACGUGGAAGUCACAUUGAUUCUAUCCCAAAGGGUGCUCCUCUUAUGGCGUGGCGGCUGGUCCUUCUCUACCCUGUGGGCUACAAACUUGAGAUCGAAAUCACUUUCUCCCAGCAUAAUAGAGCAACAUCCUGUACCGUUGCAGCUCUCCCGGGCCACUAGAUCCGUGAUUUGCUCAUUCGGACAACUAGCUGUGCAAAGCCUCUGGCCCGUGUUCAGGUCACGAUCGAGCUGGUAGAUAUCAAAGUCGCAACCAGUGAUAUCAAAAUAUGCAGUAUCAAGGUUGAAGGACCUCCCAGGUGCUUUCCAGGACAUGGUGUACUCAUUCAAACCAGAUUUCAAGCUGAUGACAUGUGAAAACUGUAUAUCAACAUCCUGGUAGCGGUUGUAAGAACCAAAACCUGGGGCGAUGAUGUCGUUGAUGACCUCCGUGGUGCCGUCGUGGAGGAAAAGUCGAUGAGGCAUCGUCUUGUCGUGAUGGUCGCAGAUGAGUUCGAAGUCUGGUUGCCGGAAGCAGCCGGCCCCAACGCCGAAGGGGUAUUCGAAUCUCAGGUCGCCACAGCCCUUUGGACAAGCAGCGAGCGUGGCGGCAGAUGGAGCUGUGGCGUUCGCCGCUCGGCUUCUCUGCGGGCCGGAUGCUUGCACCGUUGCCAUCCAUAGGAAGAGCAGUGCGAGCACACAAUGGAGUGCGUCGGGCAUCCUCAUCUUCAUUUUUCGCAAAGUAAAGUAUCUCGGUAAAUGAUACAGUAACGUAGGAACAUCAGACCUAUAUAUGCUUAAAUUUUGAGGGCUGGGUACUAUGAACUACGGACGACUCCCUACUGAUUCAUCGGCAGUGUGUUGUAUGUAUACCAACAAGCUACUGUAUUAUUUUUCCACGCGAGAAAAAAAAAACAAGCUGUCAUUUGGAGCCGGUCAGUCAAUCCUAGCUUUGAACUUUCAAAGCCAAAAUGAAAUCCAAUACGUUCUCUCACAGUAGCAUGAAUCGACACGGCAAGUGAACGUUUAGUGGCCCUUUAGCACCUUCUCGUCACUUUCAAACUUGCAAGGACCGCAUAUAUAUAUCAACCGUUCAACACCCUAGUGGAUUCCCNNNNNNNNNNNNNNNNNNNNNNNNNNNNNNNNNNNNNNNNNNNNNNNNNNNNNNNNNNNNNNNNNNNNNNNNNNNNNNNNNNNNNNNNNNNNNNNNNNNNNNNNNNNNNNNNNNNNNNNNNNNNNNNNNNNNNNNNNNNNNNNNNNNNNNNNNNNNNNNNNNNNNNNNNNNNNNNNNNNNNNNNNNNNNNNNNNNNNNNNNNNNNNNNNNNNNNNNNNNNNNNNNNNNNNNNNNNNNNNNNNNNNNNNNNNNNNNNNNNNNNNNNNNNNNNNNNNNNNNNNNNNNNNNNNNNNNNNNNNNNNNNNNNNNNNNNNNNNNNNNNNNNNNNNNNNNNNNNNNNNNNNNNNNNNNNNNNNNNNNNNNNNNNNNNNNNNNNNNNNNNNNNNNNNNNNNNNNNNNNNNNNNNNNNNNNNNNNNNNNNNNNNNNNNNNNNNNNNNNNNNNNNNNNNNNNNNNNNNNNNNNNNNNNNNNNNNNNNNNNNNNNNNNNNNNNNNNNNNNNNNNNNNNNNNNNNNNNNNNNNNNNNNNNNNNNNNCGUGCGGGCGCGGGUCUGGCGGAGCCAUCGGUGUCGGGGGGGGGGGGCACGGAUACGGCGACCGUGUGGCUGGGAGGCGGCGGUGCGCCCUACUGUGGUGUCGGCGGUUGCUAGGUCAUGCCCGAUCCGGUUUCCGUCAUGCAACAGGGGUGCGGGUGGCUGGUGGUGCUCCGCGCGUGGUGCGCAUGUGUGGUGGUGGCCGCCAUCUCAAGCGAGGGUGCCACAUCCCGGCGAAGGGGUGAUAACCCACAAGUAUAGGGGAUCGCAACAAUUUUCGAGGGUAGUAUUUCACCCAAAUUUAUUGAUUUGACACAACGGGCGCCAAAUAAUAUUUUUAAGUAUUAGCAGUUGAGUUGUCAAUUCAACCACACCUAGAGAACUAAAUAUCUGCAACAAAGUGUUUAGUAACAUAAUAAUAUGAUAGUUUGAUAGCAGUGGUAACAAUAGCAAUAGCAACAGUGACAAUAGCAGUUUUGUAGUAAUUGUAACAGCAGCAGUAACAAAAGUAACUUAGUAAAGAUCAACAACAAAAAACAUAGGCAUUGGAUCGACGAUGGAUAUUUGUGUUGGAUGAUAUUCAUCAUGUAACAAUCACAACCUAGAGCGAUACACAAUAGCUCCAAUUCAUCAAUGUAAUGUAGGCAUGCACUCCGUAUAUAGUUAUACGUGUUUAUAAUAAUAACAUGCAUGGCAUCUUUUGUCCUACCCUCCCGUGUCAACAGGGUCCAUAAGAAAAUGCAAGGGAUAUUAAGGCCUCUUUUUAAUAGACAAGCGAAACAAAGCAUUAACAUAUGAUGAAUAUAUGAACUCCUCAAACUACGGUCAUUACCGAAAACAAUCUCAAUUAUUGUCACCUUGGUGUAUGCGGAUCAUAACACGUAAUAGGUGCAUAUAAAUUGCAAGAUAGGAUCAAGAAUUCAAAUAUAUUCAUGGAAACACAAAGGGUUCAGAUAGGAAAUCAUGACACCCGGGCCCUAACAAUUUGACUCCAUUACAUGACAAAUCUCAUCCAAUUCCAUCACCGUCCAGUAGGCCUACGAAGAAAUUACCCACUUCCGAUAGCGCGCAUCAUGAAAUUGGUGAUGAAGAAGGAUUGUUGACGAUGAUGAUGGUGACGACACUCCCUCACCGGAGCCCCGAACGGACUCCAGAUCGGCCCUCCCGAUGAAGAUCAGGAGGUGGUGGCAGCUCCGUAUCGUAAUACGCGAUGGAACUUAUUCUCUUUUUUUCCUCGGGGAAAAGGAAUUUAUAGGCUUGAGAUUAGGGUCAUUGGAGCCAAUGGACCCCACAAGGUAACAAGGCGCGCCAAGGGGUGGCUGCGCCCUGUUUCCUUAUGGGCAACUGGUGGCCCCCUCCGAUGGAUCUUCGCUCCAGUAUUUUCUAUAUAUUCCAUAAAAAUCUCCAAAAUGUUUUUUCCAAUUCCGAAAACUUUUAUUUCUGCAUAAAAAACAACACCAUGGUAGUUCUGCUAAAAACAACGUCAGCCCGGGUUAGUUUCAUUCAAAUAAUGCAAAUUAGAGUCCAAAACAAGAGCAAAAGUGUUUGGAAUAGUAGAUACGAGAGAGACGUAUCAACUCCUUCAAGCUUAACUCAUUGCUUGUCCUUAAGCAAUUCAGUUGAGAAACUGAAAGUGAUAAAGAAAAAAAUUUACGGUCACUUUUUUCUUGUAUCCGUAUAUAAGCUUACAUAGCACCCAAGUUUUCAGCAAAGAUCAUUUACUAACCAUGCAAAUGAUAACACUUAGAAAUCACUUUUACUCAUAUCAAUGGCAUAAUCAACUAGCGAGCAAUAAUAACAUAUCUCGAAUGCCAUCAAAUUGUCAAAAUAAUUGUGGCACCCCGGCUCAGAGAAAACCAGAACGCCCCGUAUUCUAGCCCAGAGAUCGAGAUGAAGUCUUCUGGAAUGGCACUGCUUAGCAUAGAACAAACCAGCUCUUUAUUACAAUCUAUUUGGGUACAAUGAUUACAUCGGCAUGGCGACACUACGCCUGCCACUGUUGCUCUAUGCAAGCAGCAGAACAACACGAUGCAGCGAAAGAACUCUAGGAGCAGAACAACGACGACGGUGGUGAACUCCACUCCGCAGGGACUCUGGCUGGAACGCUUAUCCUAGCUCGCACGAACGGAAACCACGACAAGCAAGCAAUCAAAUCCGGCAUGACCUGCAAACUGGCAUGACACGCCAGGUCAGUACAUUGAAGGUACUUGCAAGCUCACAAUAACCAGAAGCAUUCAAGACAGACAACAACAUGGCAAUUACAGGUUAAACAGGAAUUAUCAUGAUAUCAUUAGAACAUGGCAUGACCAAUGUAAACAUGAUACAACUAUCACAACAUGAACAUAUUAAUCCGACAAUACUAGCAUGCAACAUGAUGACACUAUAUGCACCAUUUAUUCUGCUCCGGUUAGCUCGUAACCAACACAUGCAUCACUUACCAACCUCGGACAUCACACGAUCAUCUCAGGAUCAAAUCAAGCUUGGUAUAAAGAAUACCGUAGUAAUCAUUAAAUGACCACAAGGAGAUUGAUCUUUACCCACGAUUCUCGCACAACAUCACGAAUAUACAACGACUCGGUAUCCUUGAUACCACCGUGAUCCUUAUGGCGAUCACAACCACGACCAACAUUUGGUCUCAAACCGUGAUCCUUAUGGCGAUCACAACCAACUUAUCUCAUCAUCGAACCGGGGUUGUCAUUAAUCAAGUUAUUCUUAUUACUGUUGACUCACGGUGUGACCUACUUUUGAACUGGGCCCUUAUCCGCGGGCGCGGCUAUCAAUAGAUUUAAUAUACACUCUGCAAAGGUAGUACAUCGUACCCACACUACGGAACCCAUGGCCUCGCACUCCCAUUUGGGUGGACCAAUGGCGUUCCGACAAAACCGUCCUACUGCCAUGACACUCUCCCGGCCUCUCCGACUCAAUCCCCAUCGGGCUAGUCCUGGGUGGCCCUGUGUCUACCUCAAUACACCUCAAAACCACCGUCGUGGCCACGAUCCACUCUGGGACCCAAACACUUAACUCAUCAACUGGCACACAAGGUUUAUGUCCGCCUACCUGAUCAGGGUAGCGCGCGCCCAUAAACUUCCCUCGUUGGAGGCACCGGCGAGGGGCACAACAAUAGACCCAGUUAGGACCGUCCCAUAUCGGUAAGCGUGGUUGCACUGGUCAGCAUCGUUUCAGCAGCACCAUGACUCACCCAACAGUUGUUCAAGUUCAAUUUAAUCCGGUUAAACUUGAAUGCAAAUAUGGUGAGUCAUGAUAAAAUAACAUGAUGCCAAUAAUAAUACAUGAACAUGAUAUCAACAUAAUAUGAGGGUAUCACAUAACUAUCCACCAUAUCAACAAUAAACCAUAUCCACUGAGCAUGGCAUACUGACUAGCAUGAACAUCACCAACAUCAACAUGUACUACUAGCAAGCAUAAACAUAUGCAAGGUAAUACAUCAGGUAUAACAUGAUCACAGAGUACAAAACAACAUAGUACAAAAGUGCACAUGCAAAUCUAAACAUUACCGGAACAACGAUAACCAUAUUUUCAACAAGCAAACAAUUAAUAAAGAUUCAAGUUGAAAACCAUGGCUACUGCAUGACUAUCAUGCCAGUGGGUAUUGUGGCUUGCCUGGGGAUGAAGAAGGCACCGGGGAGAAGUGCGAGAAACUCGCGGAACGAAUCGCCGGAAAACGUACUCUCUCGGAGGGGGCUGAAUAAGGGCAAGGGCAUAAUGGUCAUUUUCACAGUGUCAAACCAUAGUGAAAGCAUGACCAAUAGAACGGGCUCGACGAAACGAAGAAGUAGGCUUUGGAAUCACCUCAUUUGGAGUUACGGAUAAAAAGUUACAAGGUGAAGAAGAUCAGUGACCAAUCUGUGAAUAUUUUCAUCACCAACAAGUCCCUGGGAGGAAAAACUGAAAGCGCAUAAGGAUGAAUACGUUUUCUGAAAGUGAAAACGUAUUAUGAACCGAAGUAGAAUAAAAAUACAUUUUCACAAAAGAAAAGUGUACCCGGGAGAAACCCGUCUCCACUUAUCCACGUGGACCCGUGGCUGGAGCCACUUCCAGGCGGGUCCCACGCGCAGGGGGAGGGGCCAGGCUCGAUCGUCCUCUUCCUCCCGCGCCUCUGUUCCUCCCAUGGAACAGAACGGGGCAGGGGAAGGAAGCGGCAAGGGGGCCGGCCGGCUCCGGCCGUCUCUGGCCGAGCCUAGGGCACCGGCGGGACCGGGGCGACGACGGAGUCACGUUCAGAGGGAGCAUGGCCGCCGGGGAGGAGAGGGCUGGAGGGGAGAGGCGGCGCCAGGAGGAGGACCGGGUCGGGCGGGCGGUGGUGCUCUCCGGCGAAGCAGGCACUCCGGCGAGGGGCAAGGGGGUGGAGUGGCUGAGUGGGACGAGGGGAGUGCGGUGGAUGUGGAGGAGAGGCGUGGGGAGGCCUGUGGUGGCCGGACCCAAGCCGAGGCCGAGGCGGCCAUGGAGGGUGACGGCGAACAACGGCGAGAUGAGAUGCCGUUGCUUCGGUGGACUAGGAGGGACGAGGAGGGGCUUGGGAGCUGCGGGAGAGUCUAGGGGUCCUUAUAUAUGCCGAGGGAAGGCUUCUGGAGCUCACGGGCGAGCUCCCGACCAAGCAUUAAUGGAGGGCAGUGGCUGGGCAUGGCACGGGCAUGGACCUAGCGACGCAUUCAUGGCGAACCACGACGAGCCAUCGACAAAGGGCGAUGCAGGGCAUCACGGGGAAGCUCCAGGACAUGGUUGGACGUUGAGACGAGGGGGGAGCCGAUGAGAACAGGGGCGGGAAGAAGCCAGAGCGCGCAAUCUGCAUGACGCAAGCGUGAUCUCCACACGCACUGGUGCAAAUGGCAUGUUCUGGCCGGGACGACCAUGUCUAGUGGAAUGACCCUAGUGACCUAAGUAUAAAUAGGGAAACAAAUCAUUCCAUAGGCAAAAAAGUGAUUUGCACUUAGCUCCAAAGUAAAUUAGCAGCGAAGUGUUUGUGCUGUGCAGUGGGGACACCAGCUAGGUAACUCAGUAAAUAGCUUGUCUGGGAGGUUUAUCUAUCGAAGGACUUUCAUCCUGGAGGUUUUGAGGGUAAAUGGAUCAAUAUUUACUGCAGUUGCUUCACAACUGACCAAAAUGGUCCAGAAACUAGAUCAUGAUGGUGCACUCACAUGGAGUGUCAACUUGAGCUCAAAUUGGGCAAGGCUUGAUAAUUUGGUCAAAUGAAGAGUAUGUAAAAAGCUCAUGCCAAAUGGACAAGCCAAAAUGGCACUUGCUUCACAAACAUCUCUGCUGACCAGAAACUUGGAAUAAUUUUGGUGGUCAACUGGAUCAAUUAAAUGAUGCCAAAUUGGGUGGAGAGAUAUUUUAUGGGUAUAAGAAUGAUCUGGUAAUUUAUCAGGAUUUUUGAAGCAAUAUAAAAUGCACUUGCUUCACAACCUGAAAAUAUUGCCAGAGUCAAAGAUUUGCUUCUGUGCUCACAUAGAUAGUUGGAUGGGGCUACAAAUGGGUGGAAGGGGUUAAUAUGAGCACUUAAGGAGUGUGCAAAAGUUCAACUCAUGUGUGUACUCCUAGCUAGUACUUCCUUCACAAAGCUUUCUGUUUGACAGAAACUUUGAAAAAUCACUGAGGAAGAUUGACUAGGAAAAUAAAUUUGAACUUGUUCAUGGAGCAAUUAUUUGGACAUAUAAACAUACCAAAAAGGUGGGGAGCCACUAGGAAAAAUAUAUAUGACACUUCCUUCACAAAGUGCCAUUCAGGGCAUAAUAGAAAAAGGAAUAUUGGGGAAUUAUUUUUGAACAUGGCAAUGAAUUUUUUUCUCCAUAUUUGAUCAAGAUAUGACCCAAAAAAUUUAUGAGAAUUAUUUGAGAAUUUUUGGAGUGAUGGAAAUAUAGGUUGCUUCACAACCUAGGGCAAUUUGAGUUAUUCCUUUAAUAGAAAAGGAAUAUUCCCAAUAAAAAGAAUAUUGGGAUGUGGGCUAGGAUGGAAAUAACAGGGUCUAGGGAAAUAUUUGGGAAUGACAAGCCACUCUCGAAGCAAAGAAGAGGGCAUCUUCUUCAGUUUCCAGACCACAAAGCCACGGAAAAAGAAAACUCAGGCAAAAACCUCGGAAAAACAAAAGAAAAAGAAAGGGCCAAAAAUCAGGCUGUCACAAACCUUACCCCCUUAAAGAAAUCUCGUCCUCGAGAUUUGGUUGCUCAGGGAACAAGUACGAAUAUUCUGACUUUAGGAAACCGUUUCCAACUCGGGUAUCCUUUUUUUCUUUAUUGUUGUUCCCAUUAAAUUUUAUCUGACUGGUCCUGGGGUGGUUUGAUUCACUGUAUCCACAUCCUAAUAGAUCUUACCUUGCUUGUUCAUGUUUAUACAGGCUUCAAUUUCUUUUUAGAUCUGCCGACUAAUUGAGUGUGAUUUAAUUAUCACGACUGAAAUAUAUGCCCGUCUCACAAAUCCUCCGCUGGGUGUGCCACCCGACACUGACAACCUUUCAUGUAAUGAUGAUCAGAUUUUUCUGAUGAAAACUGAAGCUCUGACUCAUUGCAUUGGGUUUCUCCACUAAAUGCAGGUCCUUUGGGUUCCAAACAGUGAGUUAAAACAUAACCGUUUCCUGACAGAUUCUGACUCAUCGCAGAAGUUUCUGAAUCAUCUUAACUGGUUCCAUUGUCGUGAGUAUCGGAUCUGUACCAAAUAUUUGGUUGUCUCCUGUCGCGGUCAGCAUAAAGGGUUUGGCCUGUAUGAUAAUAUUUGCAGACUUGACUGACGGUGGUUCUGACGGAAAAUUUUUGUUCACGACAGGCUAUCCAUGAUGAUUCAUAUAAGUGAGGACUCAGGCUUCCAGCCUGUUGUUCCUCAUGCCGAUUACUCAUGCUGUAGGCAUAUUUAUGUGGAUCAAUACUGACUUAAACUGUCCGGGGGAUCUGCACCAUGGGGGUCGUGUACAAUUUUCAUACCUGCCUCACUGGUCUCGCUCCUUCAUUAUUAUUUUUUUGGUCUGGAUCCUUGGCUGAAAGAGCUGGGCCAUAUUGUUUCUCUGUAUGACCAUAGGUACUGUCGCUGCAAUUUUUCGGCAAUCGUAGCUUAUCCUCGUUUUUCUGACAAGGUAACCCAUUAAAUGGCAGGUUCAACACCUCUCAAGUUUUGAUUGUUGAGAAAUGAUCAUCCGAAACCCUUGCAAAAAAUCGGCAAAUAAAUCAAUAGCCACCAAGGGUAUGUAUCGAUCGCCCCUCUGUUUUUCACGCCCUUUCUCUCGGUUGGUCUGAUCUGCCGUGGUGAAAGGUUGGCUAGCUCCGUUCGUUUCCUGCAUCCUUGUAGCGGAAAUGCAGAAUCGAUCGGCUCACAGAUCUGGGACCUGGCUGUUGUGCAGAGUGGGGCGAUUAGUGGUUGUCGUGUGAUUAUUUGUGUCUGGAACUGCGAGACCAUUAGAACUCGACAACUUUAGCUGUCGAUAGAUUGUUUGUAGGACGGUCAAUGCCAUGCGCUGAAUGUUAGGAUGGCCAUCUGCAGUUAAAUUACAAUGCCAUGCCAAUCUGCAGUUAAAUUACAAUGCCAUGCUCCGAAUGUUAGGAUGUUCAAUGCAGUAGUCCAGUCUGUAGUUUGGCUCUUAGGCUUGCUUUUUCUGCCAUUUUUAUUGAUGAAUGCAACUGCUAUUUCUUUCGUUUUAUCCAAAAUGUCACCUUAUCUCUAGUGCAAUUGGAGGUUAAAAUGUUUGUUCAGACAAUAGAGUUCAUGCUACGACAGUCACUGUAUUGUUUGAAUGGAAUUUGCAUUCUGUAAUGGGACUGAAGUUUACCUCUUUGGCUUGUGUUUGCUGUGCCCUAGAGAUGAAUACAGCGCCCUAGAAUAAUACCAGCCUCUUUAUUAACACUUCCUGGAUUUCUUCCAUAUCUGGGGGACAAUGGAGGUUGGGAUACUUGUAUUUUGCUGACAUUAGUUUCCACUGUUGUGUACCAAUUUUAUGAUAUUUUUAGGGGAGUUUCAUGAUAUAUUGGUAAUGUAGAAUUUGUAGGUGGAUUGUGCAUUGGUAGUUAUUGUAGUAUAGCUUGCAGUUUGGUGCUUCCUUGUGAUCCAGCACCAUUCUAAUCCAGUAGGUAGUCACAAAGAGAUGUAUUCCCACACCGUUUAGAUUGGAAGAAAGGUGUAAUUUCUGAUUUUCAGAUUAGGCCACGUUCAGGCUAUAUUACUAAACUAACGUAGUCUGUGUAAUGCUUAUACCAUUUUUGGGUAACUGUUUAAGAUUGUCCUUUGUUGGUGGUUAAAACAUUGGAUGGACUCGUAUUAUAUUGGAUUGAUUACUUUUUUACAUGUGGCUCUUUUCAAAUAGUCUAAUUUGUUUGUUUGCUUGUUCAGGGAAGUUGAUUAUCCUCGCAAACAACUGCCCUCCACUCAGGAAGUCUGAGAUCGAGUACUACGCUAUGCUGUCCAAGAUCAGCGUUCAUCAUUUCCAUGGAAGUAAGAUUAUUUGAUCCUAGUCUGAAACCUUUCUCAAUGCUUGUUUGACGUAUGCAGUUCAGCUUGUUUAUACUAUCAAAUAAUGAGUUGUGGCCUAAUGCUAACGAAUGGGCCUUUGUCCUUUCAGACAAUGUGGACCUUGGAAGUAUUACCGGGUGUGCUGUUUGAGCAUCCUUGACCAUGGUUCGUCCCUGUUAAACUCAAACCUCUUCAGUCAUUUUUCAUUUGCCCUGAUAACUUUGUACUGAGCGUUUGCUACACAUGUUUCCAGGUGACUCGGACAUCAUCACCACCGUUCCUCAGUGAAGACAAGCUUACCUAUCCUAGCCUAAGAUGAUGUAGUGUGGAGAGUCGUGCUUGCAAGGCCGAUGGCCGUCUCUCGUUAUCGAGCCGGAGCUGCCAAAUGCAGUUUCAAACCAAACAUGGCUGUUUUUGUAAGGCAUUCCUAUGGGUUUUGUUUUGUGAUGAGAUGAUUAUUCCUAUGGUCCUUUUUACCGUGCGCAAUUGGAUGAUCAGUUCUGUCAACAUUGUUUUGCCUUGCUCCUCUAGUGAAAUAGAACUAAAACAACUAGUCGCUUAGCUGAAGAAUUGCGUGAGACUAGGUGAUGCUUGUGCAAUCUAUGGAACGAUUUUUGUUUCGCCACGCUGGAGUAGAG